Molecule: long non-coding RNA, 77347 nt
Filed under: Triticum aestivum (bread wheat)
Lineage: Eukaryota; Viridiplantae; Streptophyta; Magnoliopsida; Poales; Poaceae
Description: long non-coding RNA (TAES_LNC019395)
Source: RNAcentral
UUUGUUCCUCAGCGGAUUAGAGAUCCUCGUGCUAUUCAUCGAGAUGGUGUGAUAAGAGAGUAUGACAGUUUAGAAGCUUCUGGCCAGGUGCAUUGCUUUUUCAUAUUUGUUCGUCAUUUUUACUUUGGUGAUUUGUUUUAAUAGAAGAGAGCUUGAGUUAUGUAAGAGCGAAAUAUAAUCAAUGAACUACAAUUUUGUCAUAACAUACUACUAUCUCCAGUAAAAAGGUGAUGUCCUGUAAUCCAAGCAAUCAAUGUACGUUAACUCAAACCAUAAAGUAUUUUCAUAAUAUUAAAAAUGGAUGGUCAAAGUUGUGUUUGGUGGUAUGUGUCAAUUGAAAACAAGAUAUGAAUUUAAUAUAACAGUGUCGAUCAUUAUAGAUCUGGUUUCACUGAGAUAAAAGGCCCCCUUUCUUUGAUUUUUGCACUCACAUUAAGUUUCUAACCAAGCCAGCAUGCAUGGCUUUGUGACGAUGCUAUUAAUAUGUUGUACGCUAAUGUUUUAUUACUCCAUUCUUCAGAUGGCCCUUUACCUGGCAGAAGCUAGCAGAUAUUUUGCAUGCACAGACUUGUUUCGAGAACCUUCUAAGUAUGCAUGGUCUGAUUACUACGAAGAUCAUUUUAUUGUGCCAAACCAGAGGAUUGCUUUAGUAACCAACAAGAGGGUGAUACUCCUUCAGGUAAUGCUUCUUUUUAUCUGAUUCUCUUACUCCCUCUGUUCACUUUUAUAAGACCUUGAAGAUAUUUCAGAUAAUGUGCAAACCAACCCAUUUUGAGUUGUCUGAAACGACUUACAAAAGUGAACGGAGAGAGUAGUACAUUCCUCUCUAUUUUGACUAAACUUGUCCUUUUAUUAGUGCUUGGAUCUAGAUAAAAUGGACAGGAAACCUUCCAAAAUACUUUGGGAUGUCCCUUGGGAAGAAGUACUUGCAUUGGAACUUGCAAAAGCUGGGUAUCAGAGGCCUUCACAUGUAAUCAUACAUCUGAAGAAUUUUAGGAGGUCUGAGAACUUUGUAAGGCUUAUAAAGUGCAGUGUUGAUGAAGAACGGGAAGCUCAGGCUGUUUUACUUUGUUCUUCAAUACGAAAAAUGUGGAGAUCUCACCAGACAGGCACGAAAGUUGUACCCUUGAAGGUUCCUUCUGGCCUGCGCCCUGUAUAUUUUGCAUCAGAUGAUGAUAGAAGGGAAUCUCAGAGUCCUGCUAGGCCUUUGCUAAGCUCAAGAGGAGCGUCCAGUAAUGUUGAGCAUCGACUUAUAAACCACACAGUUAACUUCCAGAAAAUGUGGAGUAGUGAACAAGAAGUUCGGAGCCGGUGUAAACUUCUUGGGAAGCAGGUAAGUUGGCUGAAUUCUUCAUAGAGAUCAAAAGAAGUUCGGAGCCGGUGUACUAAGGUAACCACAAUCAUGAAUUUAUAUUCCAGGUUGCAGACGAUGGAAGGAUUUUUAGCAUCUGGAGACCCCUAUGCCCUAGUGGGUAUGAAACUAUACUGUAUCCAUCUAAUAUACCUAUUUUCUGCUCUGAUGCUCAAAGUAUAGUACCGCUUAUUUGUAGGUAUGUCUCAAUUGGAGAUGUCGCUCAUGUUGGCAUCCAUCCACCACAUUUUGCUGCUAUCUACAAGAAUGUUAACGACAAUUUUGUGCUACCUCUUGGCUAUGACCUGGUAAGUGUUCAGUGAAACAUUUUCUAUUACAUUCUGUAAGGUUGACAGGACAUCAACUAAAUGUCCUAGACCUGUCUGCUUGAUACUUCUAGUCAGCUUUGAGUUUGCACUGUAGUAUAUAAUGUUUUGGCUAUGCAAAACUGAUUUCAGUUUUUGUUUUAUCGUGCACACAGGUUUGGAGAAAUUGCGCCGAGGAUUACAGGAGCCCUGUAUCAUUAUGGCAACCAAGGCCACCUGAGGGAUACGUGGCUCUGGGAUGUGUGGCUGUUUCUGCUUUCGAAGAGCCCCCUCUUGAUUGCGCCUUUUGCGUGAAUGAGAGAUUUGCGGAGGAUGCAGUGUUUGAGGAUCAGAUAGUAUGGGCUUCCUCAGAUGCUUACCCAUGGGGAUGCUACAUUUACCAAGUUCAGAGCAGUUCGCUGCAAUUCAUGGCACUCCGUCUUCCAAAAGAGCAGUCUGAGCAGAAGCCUAAGAAGAUCUUGGAGGCGUAUCUCCAGCGAGCAUCAGAUUAAUGAUCCUAUGAGGCGAAGCAGACAUGCCAUGCAUCGGAGACAUCAGGAGCGGUAUAAUACUCCCUCCGUCCCGACACUAUGAUAGUGUAAAAAAUGAUCUCACAUUUUGGGACGGAGGGAGUAUGAUAUAGGGAAAUGAGAAACUUUGCUAUGCAAAAGAGAAGACUCAGCAAUCUUGCGCAAGAUAGUUUGUCUUUGAUAUGAAAUAUUUUUGUACAGUUUUGGGCGGCAUUAUGUUAUUGAGCAUGGCAUUUUUGCGGGGAGAGAUAAUGUGCUAGCUUGGCUUUGUUUUUCGGCUGUUGCUGGGAUUUGUAUCUCUGCUUGAUGCUUAUCAAAUACAGUGUAAACUAGUAGGUGGGAAUGGCUGUAAGUGUACAUUUUGUAACGCGUUGUUAUAGUGCUCUUUCUACUGUGGUGCUGUUGCUAAGAUUUGAAGUUUUGCUUGAUGUUGUCAAAACUAGCCAACUGAACCCCGUUGUUCAAACACAAAUCAGAAGGUCACAGGCUUACGGCCCACCUUGUCGCUCGAGUCGUGACACAAAGGGCGUGUUUGGUUGCCCGCACCGAGCCCAACCAGGCCCGCGUGGGAAGGGAGAGGCCUGUUUGGUUGCCUGCACCGAGCCCAACCAGGCCCGCGAGGGAAGAGAGAGGCCUGUUUGGUUGCCUGGUUUUCCUGUUGGGCCUGCAUCGCAUGCUUCUCAAAGCAGCCCAGAGCCUGGUUCGCUGGAAACCCUCGGAUCGGCAGUUUCUCGCGAGCCAGGCUGAGUGCGGCGCGAGGUUGCACGGGCGGGAGCGAGGCGCGGGCGAGGGGGGAUGGCAGGAGAUGGAAAUCUGGCGCGCCGUCCCGGCGCCAAAUUAGCCUCACCCCCUUUCACUCGCUCAUCCAUAGCCACUGCCCCCCUUUCUUCGCUACUGCCUCACCACCGGCGGCGGCUGUGAUUUCAGAUCUGCGCUAUAGGCGGCAGCGGCGCGACGGAAGAGGCGGCGGCGUUUGCGGCGGAUCUGGUGCUCCCCUUGCUAUUGGCCACCGUCUGGUCGACCUACUCUAUGCCAUAGCCCCCCUACGCCGUCCUUGUCUCCGAUGCCGGUAAGCAGCACCCCCUCCCCCUUUGUUAGCUCAGUGGUUAGGCCUUUAAGCUAGGUGUAGGAUCGAUUUCCCACUGAACGAACCGUUGAUGUCGACUAGGCUAUGGACGCACGGAUGAGGCUGAUAAUCCAGGCAGCAACACUGAUUAGUGUGAUUCAGGCAUGGGUCAUGUUCAUGCACCAGAGAGCUAUUCGUCGUGCUGGGAGACCGUUGAUCCGCUAUGGUCCAUUGUUUCCCCGGGAACAGGAGAGGAUCCAAAAUCUGAACUACAUCUACAACUGCAAUGACGUCGAGGCUCUGUGGAUGCUUAGAAUGAAAAGAGCACCAUUUGCCAGGCUUGUCGAGACCUUCAGGAGCAGGGGCCUGUUACAAGAUAGCAUCAACACCAGUGUCGAAGAGCAAGUGGCCAUGUUCCUCCAUGUUGUUGUCCAUAACCAGAGGUUCAGGGUCAUUCACAACACGUUCAGGAGAUCAAUGGAGACCAUCUCUAGGUACUUCAAGCAAGUGCUUUUUGUUGUUGGGGAGCUUAGAGGAGAGAUGACUAGGAGACCAUCUGGCCAGACUCCACCCAAGAUUCACAGAAGCCCAAGAUGGUAUCCAUACUUCAAGGUGAGCAUUGACAAUAUACACUUUUCAUGGCUUGAUAUGCUUGUAUUGUUCAAGUUCAGCACUAACACAGGCUAGUGAUGCCAUUUUCAGGACUGCAUUGGGGCGAUAGAUGGUACUCAUGUCACUGCCAGAGUUCCUAGGUCACAGUCUGCAGCAUACAGGGGGAGGAAGCACUACACAAGCCAAAAUGUGCUUGUUGCUGUUGACUUUGAUCUGAAGUUCACAUAUGUGCUGGCUGGCUGGGAGGGGUCAGCGCAUGAUGCAAACAUUCUCACUGACAGCAUGAGUCGACCUGAUGGGAUCAACAUCCCCGACGGCAAGUUCUACCUUGGAGAUGCUGGCUAUGCAUGUCGGCCGGGUAUUCUUCCACCCUUCAGGAAAACAAGGUACCAUCUCAAUGAGUUCUCUGGUAGGAACUUUCCUAGGACUGCACAGGAGCUGUUUAAUCUCAGACACUCCAGCCUUAGAGUAACUGUUGAGAGGGCAUUUGGAGCUCUGAAGAAUAGGUUUAAGAUCCUGCAUCAGAAGCCAUUCCACCCAUACUCCACUCAAGUUAAGCUAGUUCUUGCUUGUUGCAUUCUGCAUAAUUGGAUCCUCCAGUGGGGCUUUGAUGAACACGUGCCUGAGGAGGAAGAGGUCGAGCCUGACGAUGUUGUUACCUCUGGCCAUGGUGUGGAGGCAUUUGACAUGACGCUUGGAAGAACAAAAGGUUGGAGUGGGCAGAGGCAAUGUGGCUUAACAGAGGUCAGUGCAGGAUUUGAAGAAGAGGAAGAAGAAACAGCAGCAGCAGAAGCACAGAAGAAGAGGAAGAAGAAGAAGCAGCAGAAGCAGAAAGGAAGAUGAAGAGGAAUAUGAAGCACCAACACCGAUGAACUAUCCCCUAUUUAGCCAAUGGCUCUUAAUAAUUUGAUCUGUCAUUUGAUUGUAGUUAGGAUGAGCUGUCAUUUGUUUAACUAGCUGGCACUAUGUUCAGAUAGGUCACCACUAGUUAGAAGUGGUGACAACACCUUAUGCAGGUUGCAACCAAACACCAUGUCAUAUGUGCACCUAAUGCAAUGCAGGCAACCAAACGCUGGGUCAAAAAUGGUUGUCUCAUGCAACUAGGGGCAUGCAGGCAACCAAACUAUGUGCAUCCGGGGUUUUUUGGCCUGCAUCCCCUCAAACCGGCUCAAUAGAGCCAGGCUCGCUGGGCCAGGCUGAAUCAGCAAUGUAACCAAACACGCCCAAAGUCUUAACAAAUGCAGAAUGCAGAGGACCGACCCAUAUCAGCCAAGUGCAAAAACGCAGAGACAAGCAUGCCGGGCUCCGAAGGGGAUCUUGUUCCUAAAAACCAACCCUAGCAUGCGAAUUGAUUGGCCAAACAAGGAGAGCGGACGUCUUGCAUGCAGUUAGGUCAACUUCAGUGCACGACUCCAUUCCGUAAAAUGGACAAACCCUUCGGCCCAACGUGCGACGGCCUGAACCCAUCUCGUCCGUUUUGUGUCCGUCUGACCCUAUUUUCAGACCAAAUUUGGGCUGGAUUUGCAGCCAAAGUGGACAGAACCAGACGCGUUCUGCGCCCUCUCCGUCCGCCGCGCAGCUCCUCCGGCACGCAUCCCCGCCCUCCCUGACCUCCAAGCCCCACCACCCUGCCCGGCCCCCUUCGUCGAGCGCGCCCGUGGCUCCUGCCACUGUUCGACCAUGACCCGCACGGCGUCGCGACGCGUAUGCUGGGGCAGAAGACCUUGGCGGCUUCCUCCUGGCCUCCUGACACCCACCCGAGCCCCGACCAAGCCAGCCGUAGGCCGGCGUAGGCCCAGCUGGCCGCCAGCGCCGACCGCGGCAGCGCCAGGACCCCUCCUUCCUCCCGGCCUAUAAAUGGCGACCCUUGGCCUCCAUUUCAGCUCACAUCUUCUUCCCCCCUAACCAUUACUGGCCGACGCCCUCCAUACUUCUCUACGACAAGGCUCUACCGCCGAUGAGCUCAACUCGAUUUGAUCCACCUAUGGAUCUCCAAGCCAAGCCGCCACCACAGUUCGUCUCCCCUUGUUUGAUUGGGCACGCCCAAGCCCAGCACUGGAGCCAGCUCAAUUGAAGCCCCCUCGCCGGAGUUCGAGCUCGACUGAAGAUCGCCACCGCCCGUGAGGAAGGAAUCGUCGCCGUCCGACCACCUCCGGCGAUGCCACGGGUACGUGAAAACUCGCUAAAGAGCGCUCGUUUCAGUGGGGCUAUUGUCCCCUCUCCUCGCUGAUGAUCCCUUGCCGGAGUUCCCCGUGCCUCGGCCGUGUGUUUUAAUAGAAAACCUGACGGGUGGACCCCACCCGUCAGUGACUCACUUACGGCCCGAAGCGAUACGCUGGCCGUGGCGUAAAAUAUGCCUUCGACGUGGCACGCCCUGGGUUUUUCUUUAUUUUAGUUUAAAAUCAAUUCAAAAAUGCUUUUGUUGACUUAACUUUGACCAUGAAUAACUCCUAAACUAUAAGUACAAAGCAAUUGAUUCUUUUUGCAUUAUUUUUGUUAUUCAAUUUCCUUUCUGUUGGCAAAGUUUGAGAUAUAUUUGAGCUGUCUAGAAUUUCUGGAUAGAGUUUUAGUAAUUUGCUAUUUAUUGAAAAUUAUUUCCAGAGACAAAUAAUUUAGGAGGUGAAGAUCAGGAGUUUUGUGACCCUCCACCAAUUCAAGGCAAGCCAUUUCAUCCAUUUGCUUGAUGGUAUGUGCAAGGCCAUGGGUUCAAACUUGCUCGAUAUCGGUUACUUUACUUUAUAUGCUUGCUUUACUUUAUGAUCCAAUUUUUUUGAUAGAGAUUGGUAAGAAAAGUAUGGUAGAACACCAUUAGAAUAGUGAAGAGAUCCACCACAUUACUGUUGAACUUUUUUUUUUUACGAAAAACUGGUAAUUUCUUUCAAUCACAUAAAACCUAAGCAACUAAAACUAUAGCGACGAGGAAACCAUUCGGAGAAAGACUUUACUUAAGACAAUGGUCUCCUUCGGGCACUUUCAAUUGAGAAUAUAUUAUUUGAGAUGAGUAGAUUAGAGUUGGAGUAUUAUAGAACCCCCCUUUAUACUACAACCUUAAUAACCGUUCAAUCCGGUGCCACGAAACCAGACUUCCUCGGUACAAUCACAUUUUCCCAAAUGCGAGGACCCUAUUUCAUUUGUAUCUAUGUCUCUUCCGUGUAUCUCCAAAGAGGGAAACUGAGAUGUGUAGACUUCCUGUGGCCGAGAAGUUUCCAUCUAGUCAAGAGAGCCUGGGUCAGUUGAUGUGCACAGGAAAGUUGAUUGAUCCCCGAGGGGAGACAAGUGGUGCCACGAGGUGGCAAGGAUCCAGAUCCCCUCUCCGAGGGCUAGCCCGUGGGAGGUUGAAGAUACGGUUAGAGGGCCAUGCUAUGAGUGAGGAUUGUUGGACUAACAACAUAUGGUGCGGGUAAAGUGUACGACCUCUGCAGAGUGUGUGUUGAAACUAUUCGAAUAGCCGAGUCCCCAGCAAUGGGACACCAUUCGUGUUAAGUCACACUAUUUUGACCAGACACCCAUUUACAUUUACUUUAAGUCUUAUGCUUUAGUAGUCUAGUAAUUACCCUCAUAAGCCGGAUGAUCGUGGAUCACGGCGGAGAGAGAGGUCCAUCGGACGUUAAACGAGUAAUUUAUUUUCAAACAAUUGUUAUGCUAGUUGUACUCAUACUUGUCUUUAGUUUGAUGCUUUAUUUGUGUAACUUGCUCUUGCUUGCUUGCCUUUGGAUUGUUUGUGAGCUUGCGAGUACAUUCUAAGCAUUCAUCUGGCUUAUCAUGCGAGAUGCAGGAGAAGCCUCGUAGAAGGACAUCGAGAGUAAGAGCUAGAUUGUGUCCCAACAGUGUCCCUUUGGACUGGACUCCCGCUAGAGUCCCGCCUUCUGCUGUGUUAUAAGCCCUCUCCUACUAUUGCUUCAUUAGCCACUAGGCCUUGGGCUUAAUAAUAGAGCACUACUGCUCGAAUUGUACUACCAUGUUGAGCAAGAUUAUUGUAUUAUAACUCCGUGUACUAUGUGAGUACUCUAUUAGAAUGUGGUUGUUCUAUGCCAACCUAUAGUCAUGUUCCAGAAGACAUGGAUCUCUGGGCUGGAACACGAAGGCCUCCGGUUCUCUGAAUAGGGGUGUCACAAGACUUGGCAUCUGAGCCACGCUGACUGUAGGACACGCUAGCUAGAAAAAGGGGACCUAGAGUCGAGAGCCGGUAGGGAUUCUACGUAAUUAGUUACAUUUGAUUGUGCACAACAUGCUAGCUAACCAUUCAUACCCUAACGCUGAUAUUUUCAUCAUGUUGAUUGUAGAUGGCCACCACUCCCAUUGACUACACCCCGGAACCCAACCAGUACAGCUUCCUGCAUCUGCUUAAUAGUGUUUGGCACUGCUUCCAUCCCAAGGGAGAAGAACCUCAGUACCUCGUGUACCAAAUACCUCUAACAGACUCGGUCUACGAGUACCACGCCAAUGUCCAACUCAUGGCCAACAUGACCGGAUGCAGCCACACGUACCAAUUCCUCGAACCACCUACUUCCACUUCGGAAUUAGCUGUCCAGGCCACAGCCGAAGCAACAAUUAUUGGCCUCAACCGAGAAGAGUCGCGAAUGCGAGAACACCCCGCUUUUCGUUUCUAUCCCACCCUAGCCCCAGAUAAGUGAAGCGUGAUGUUUAUGCCUAUCCGUGAGGAAGACAAUGCCUCCGCAGCACUCAUGUCGCACUACAUGAUUGCUGAGUAUAGCCUACUCACCGUACUAGUGAGAGACACCAACCUAAACUGAAGGGCCCUGGUCUUGGCCCACAGCACCAGUACCAUCCCCACACCACCACCCACUAGUACAACGAGCUGCUAAACAAACGGUUUUUAACCCCUUUCCGCGACGGUCUUUGGAACCGUCGCCAAGUGAGUGUGGGCGAUAGGGGGGGUCCUUCCCACACGACCCAGAAACCGUCGGGGAUAUGCCCUCCUGGCACACACGCUUGGCAAAAUGAGGUCGUGUGCGACCGAAGAGCACUCAAAUACAGAAAUACGUACAGUAGUGCUAAAAUAUACAAUUAUACAGGCGAAAUCAUUUCCGGUCGUAAGUACAUCCCACACAGUCAGUCACCGCUAAACGUUUCCGUUCAUAUAUACAUCCCACACAGUCACUCCAAGAAAAACGUUUGCGCAAGGUGGCGUAAGGCAAACAGUUUUCAAGAGAAUGUCAUGUGUGAUUGUUCAUUGAUCCAACACGGUUUAUUCCUAGACACUGUGUGCGUUGCCUGAGGUCAUCGCCCACGGUGUUUUCUCAAUAACCAUUUGCAAUAGGAAAACCCAAUUAGCAAGCUAAUUGGACAAUUAGCAGGCUAAUUGCCCUAUUAUUAUUAAUUCAUUUACUAAUCUAAUUGACAUUCAUAUUAAGCACAUAAUAUAUUCCAUUUCCAUAUUAAGGAAGCAGGAUUUCAUAAUUGAAAUACAUCGGAGUACAACAUGAUAUAGCUUCAGCACUCAGCUACCCCAUUACACGACUGCACCAGCAGCAAGUUUCCCAUGCAACAUCUAGAACCUUUCGAAAUUAGCAUCAUAGACGGUACAUAGAGAGAUGCAUCUCAUCUGGAAAACUGCUGAAGCGGAAGGCGAAUAUUGAGCCUUCAUUCAUGUUGAAGGUCUUUGCAACUUUAGGCCAGUGCCUGUGGAUGAUUGACCGUCCAUCCUUAGACCUCUUCAGGAACACUUCAAUAUUGAAUCGUGGGUGUUGUAUGAAAACUUUCCUCGCCUCCUGACCACAGAGGUGGUUUGAGAGGUAAUCAUCAGUGAACCCUGAAAACAAGGAUGUGCAUAAAUAUCUUCUCGAAAUGGGGCAAAGGAACAAAAAAGGCAAGGUAUAAUAGUUAGUACCAUCUUGUAAACCUUAGUGCUUCCCAUUGUUUCCCUGCAACACAUAUAUGGUAGUUAGAAUCAGGUUAAGUAAAUGUUCGCAUGCUAUCAGUAAAAUAUGUUGAUGAUAAAUAAGCACAUUGCAGAUUCAUCAGAUUAUUCAAGCCACAUGGAAAACCCAUUUAUCCAAACCAAGCAUGAUUAAGAACUAGGAAAUAUAGCACUUGUAUAUGUUUCUCAUGUAUUAAGUGCAGCCAAAUUCGAUUUAUUCCUCACAUGGUAUACAAUAAUAGAAUGCAGCCAGAACAAUUGAACAUCGCAUUGUAGAAUUGAACCAAGCAGUUAACUAAACACCACAACAAAUGAACCAAACCUUAACUGAGCACCACAUUGCACAAUAUAACAUACUUCUAAUAGAAGAUCAGACAACUAACCAAACCAAGCAUGCUUAACAACUAGGAAAUAUAGCACUUGUAUAUGUUUCUCAUGUAUUAAGUGCAGCCAAAUUCGAUUUAUUCCUCACAUGGUAUACAAUAACAGAAUGCAGCCACAACAAUUGAACAUCGCAUUGCAGAAUUGAACNNNNNNNNNNNNNNNNNNNNNNNNNNNNNNNNNNNNNNNNNNNNNNNNNNNNNNNNNNNNNNNNNNNNNNNNNNNNNNNNNNNNNNNNNNNNNNNNNNNNNNNNNNNNNNNNNNNNNNNNNNNNNNNNNNNNNNNNNNNNNNNNNNNNNNNNNNNNNNNNNNNNNNNNNNNNNNNNNNNNNNNNNNNNNNNNNNNNNNNNNNNNNNNNNNNNNNNNNNNNNNNNNNNNNNNNNNNNNNNNNNNNNNNNNNNNNNNNNNNNNNNNNNNNNNNNNNNNNNNNNNNNNNNUGAACAUCGCAUUGUAGAAUUGAACCAAGCAGUUAACUAAACACCACAACAAAUGAACCAAACGUUAACUGAGCACCACAUUGCACAAUAUAACAUACUCCUAAUAGAAGAUCAGAUAGUUAACCAAACCAAGCAUGCUUAACAACUUGGAAAUAUAGCAAUUGUAUUUGUUUCUCAUGUAUUUAGUACAGCCAAAUAUGAUUUAUUUCUCACAUGGUAUACAAUAACAGAAUGAAGCCACAACAAUUGAACAUCGCAUUGCAGAAUUGAAUCAAGCAGUUAACUAAACACCACAACAAAUGAACCAAACGUUAAUUGAGCACUACAUUGCACAAUAUAACAUACUCGUAAUAGAAGAUCAGAUAGUUAACCAAACCAAGCAUGCUUAACAACUUGGAAAUAUUGCACCCUGAAGAAUUGAACAUCACAUUUGCAGAAUUGAACCAAGCAGUUAAUUGAACACCACAUUGCACGACAUAUAGAACAUAUACACUAUAACAGAAGAUUGCAUGGUAAAAGUAGAUAACACAAUUCACUAUAAUUUGUUAAGGAAAGGCAGUAGCUAGCAAACUAAACAUGGGUCCUUAUAGUGAGCUAAUAAGACAAGCUACUCCUCAUUGUCGGAGAUAUCGAUGACGAUUGGCUCCUUGGACAUGGAAGAGGGCGAGGCCUCCGCAUCGUGGGUGCCCUCCUUGUAGUGGUGAGUUGCCUGAGCCGCUCGGGCACCAACCUGCUGGCUCUCGAGAUGAGGUAAGCACGUGCACGCUGAGAAAACACCUCGUAGUCUUCGUCAAAGGCACCGACGGUGGCCUCGAGAAAACGCCACGAACUGUCGUUUAAAGCAGCCAACCGCGUCACAGCGUCGGUGCGCGAGGCGUCAACGGUGGCCUUCAUGGCGAGGUGCUCCUCCAAGAUCUGGGGGUCGGCACGAAUGACAGCCAUCGCGACCUCAUCCACGCGUGCGGCCGCGAUUUGCUUCUCUGCUGCCAAAUGCUCCUUGAGAUCCUGGCUAUACUGCGUGCACCAUGGCUUAGGCCGACGCUUAUUUGGUGGAGGGGUCGGUGAUUUGGGUGGAAGGUGUCGCGCUCGCGCCGGCGGUCGGGGCAUGUGGGAUGUGGAAGGAGGAGGAGGAUGGGGGUCGGGUGUGGAUUACCUGCCUGGAUAGGCGAGGCCGAGCAGCGUCAAGGAGGGUCGCCGGCGAGGUGGCGGCGCUGCAAGCAAGGAGUGAAGGUUUCAACUUGGAAAGGAAGGCGGAAAGGGGGGAAAUGUGGCUUUUGGUAAGGGGGAGGGGGCAGGGAGGUAGAUAUUUCCGCGGAAGCCGAAAAUUUGGAAUCGCUUCAGCUAAAAACUGGCGCGCAAAGUGUCAUCAGACACGGUCCCUUAUUCAGAGCGGGCUGUGGACUGUAGCCAUCACACCUUCUCGCGUAAGCCGUAUGCGUACUAUACUCCGACGGUGCUCCAAGAUAUUUUGUUCAGCAUCUCACAGGGUUGGUUAUAAUAAGCUGUGUGGGAUCUACUUGAUUUUUCGUCUUGAUUUAAAUUACAUAAUGGGGUCACAGAGGCCAUGGACGGUGUUUGAAUUGCUAGACCUUUUAUCUGUAGUGAACAAGCAACUAUAUGUGUGUCAUAAAAGAAUUGGAAUUAUUCAGGGUUCGUUUGGACAUGUUUAUGCAUUAAGUGAGUUUUCAAUGCAUUUAUGCGCAUAAUUCAAAUUUGAACUACAUGCACAUGCUCCAGUGCAUAUAAAUUGGUUGAAAAAUCAAAUCUUUGUCCUUGGGUGCAUGCUUAGGUCCCAUGCAAAAAAUGGGAAUGAAUGUCAAACACCCUGCCACCAUCACUCGGCCGCAAACAUUGAGAUACCUGGUAUUUAAAUUCUAGUAAUCCAAAACUCGUCUGAAAUUCAUGAAACUUGGCAUGGUAUCAUGGAGCGGCAUCAACAUGCUGUGGUAAAAAAUUUGUCCCAUUUGGGGCAGGUUUGGGUAUAAGCUUCUCACAAACCAGAGCUUCUCACAACAAGCAUGAUGGUUUCGAUAGGGAACGUCCCACCUUUGGGGACGAAACGAUAUCCAUUGCCUCUUAUUGCUUUCAAAUUUUUUCUCGCGUCAACAUAGAACAACAGGAGUGUUGUGUCAAUUUUUGUAAUUUUUCGGGGUUCGUUUGGACAUUGUUAUGCAUUAACUGAGUUUUCAAUGCAUUUAUGUGCAUAAUUGAAAUUUGAACUACAUGCACAUGCUCCAGUGCAUAUAAAUUGGUUGAAAAAUCAAAUAUGUGUCCUUGGGUGCAUGCUUAGGUCCCAUGCAAGAAAUGGGAAUGAAUUUCAAACACCAGGGCAUCGUGGAUUGCCUGCAAAACGUUGAGAUACCUGGUAUUUAAAUUCUAGUAAAUCCAAAACUCGUCUGAAAUUCAUGAAACUUGGAAUGGUAUCAUGGAGCGGCAUCAACAUGCCGUGGUAAAAAAUGUGUCCCAUUUGGGCCAGGUUUGGGUAUAAGCUUCUCACAAACCAGAGAUUCUCACAACAAGCAUGAUGGUUUCGAUAGGGAACGUCCCACCUUUGGGGACGAAACGAUAUCCAUUGCCUCUUAUUGCUUUCAAAUUUUUUCUCAUGUCAACAUAGAACAACAGGAGUGUUGUGUCAUUUUUUAUGAUUUUUCGGGGUUCGUUUGGACAUUUUUAUGCAUUAACUGAGUUUUCAAUGCAUUUAUGUGCAUAAUUCAAAUUUGAACUAUAUGCACAUGCUCCAGUGCAUAUAAAUUGGUUGAAAAAUCAAAUAUGUGUCCUUGGGUGCAUGCUUAGGUCCCAUGCAAGAAAUGGGAAUGAAUUUCAAACACCAGGGAACCAUUGAUUGCAGGCAAAACGUUGAGAUACCUGGUAUUUAAAUUCUAGUAAAUCCAAAACUCGUGUGAAAUUCAUGAAACUUGGCAUGGUAUCAUGGAGCGGCAUCAACAUGCCAUGGUAAAUUUUUUUCCCAUUUGGGGCAGGUUUGGGUAUAAGCUUCUCACAAACCACAACUUCUCACAACAAGCAUGAUGGUUUCGAUAGGGAACGUCCCACCUUUGGGGACGAAACGAUAUCCAUUGCCUCUUAUUGCUUUCAAAUUUUUUCUCGUGUCAACAUAGAACAACAGGAGUGCUGUGUCAUUUUUUGUGAUUUUUAGGGGUUUGUUUGGACAUUUUUAUGCAUUAACUAAGUUUUCAAUGCAUUUAUGUGCAUAAUUCAAAUUUGAACUACAUGCACAUGCUCCAGUGCAUAUAAAUUGGUUGAAAAAUCAAAUAUGUGUCCUUGGGUGCAUGCUUAGGUCCCAUGAAAAAAAUGGGAAUGAAUUUCAAACACCAGGGCGUGGAUUGCCGGCAAAACGUUGAGCUACCUGGUAUUUAAAUUCUAGUAAAUCCAAAACUCGUCUGAAAUUCAUGAAACUUGGGCAUGAUAUCAUGGAGCGGCAUCAACAUGCCGUGAAAAAAUUGUCCCAUUUGUGGCAGGUUUGGGUAUAAGCUUCUCACAAACCACAGCUUCUCACAACAAGCAUGAUGGUUUUGAUAGGGAACGUCCCACCUUUGGGGACGAAACGAUAUCCAUUGCCUCUUAUUGCUUUCAAAUUUUUUCUCGUGUCAACAUAAAACAACAGGAGUGUUGUGUCAUUUUUUGUGAUUUUUCGGGGCUCGUUUGCACAUUUUUAUGCAUUAACUGAGUUUUCAAUGCAUUUAUGUGCAUAAUUGAAAUUUGAACUACAUGCACAUGCUCCAGUGCAUAUAAAUUGGUUGAAAAAUCAAAUAUGUGUCCUUGGGUGCAUGCUUAGGUCCCAUGCAAGAAAUGGGGAUGAAUUUCAAACACCAGGGCACCGUUGAUUGCUGGCAAAACGUUGAGAUACAUGGUAUUUAAAUUCUAGUAAAUCCAAAACUCGUCUGAAAUUCAUGAAACUUGGCAUGGUAUCAUGGAGCGGCAUCAACAUGCCGUGGUAAAAAAUGCGUCCCAUUUGGGGCAGGUUUGGGUAUAAGCUUCUCACAAACCAGAGAUUCUCACAACAAGCAUGAUGGUUUCGAUAGGGAACGUCCCACCUUUGGGGACGAAAUGAUAUCCAUUGCCUCUUAUUGCUUUCAAAUUUUUUCUCGUGUCAACAUAGAACAACAGGAGUGUUGUGUCAUCUUUUGUGAUUUUUCGGGGUUCGUUUGGAAAUUUUUAUGCAUUAACUGAGUUUUCAAUGCAUUUAUGUGCAUAAUUCAAAUUUGAACUACAUGCACAUGCUCCAGUGCAUAUAAAUUGGUUGAAAAAUCAAAUCUGUGUCCUUGGGUGCGUGUUUAGGUCCCAUGCAAAAAAUGAGAAUGAAUUUCAAACACCAGGGCACCGUGGAUUGCUGGCAAAACGUUGAGAUACCUGGUAUUUAAAUUCUAGUAAAUCCAAAACUCGUAUGAAAUUCAUGAAACUUGGCAUGGUAUCAUGGAGCGACAUCAACAUGCCAUGGUAAAAAAUUUGUCCCGUUUGGGGCAGGUUUUGGUAGAACCUUCUCACAAACCACAGCUCUCACAACAAGCAUGAUGGUUUCAAUAGGGAACAUCCCACCUUUGGGGGCGAAACGGUAUCCAUUGCCUCUUAUUGCUUUCAAAUUUUUUCUCGUGCCAACAAAGAACAACAAGAGUGUUGUGUCAUUUUUUGUGAUUUUCGGGGUUCGUUUAGACAUUUUUAUGCAUUAACUGAGUUUUCAAUGCAUUUAUGUGCAUAAUUCAAAUUUGAACUACAUGCACAUGCUCCAGUGCAUAUAAAUUGGUUGAAAAAUCAAAUUUGUGUCCUUGGGUGCAUGCUUAGGUCCCAUGCAAGAAAUGGGGAUGAAUUUAAAACACCAGGGCACCGUUGAUUGCUGGUAAAACAUUGAGAUACCUGGUAUUUAAAUUCUAGUAAAUCCAAAACUCGUCUGAAAUUCAUGAAACUUGGCAUGGUAUCAUGGAGCGGCAUCAACAUGCUGUGGUAAAAAAUUUGUCCCAUUUGGGGCAGGUUUGGGUAUAAGCUUCUCACAAACCAGAGCUUCUCACAACAAGCAUGAUGGUUUCGAUAGGGAACGUCCCACCUUUGGGGACGAAACGAUAUCCAUUGCCUCUUAUUGCUUUCAAUUUUUUCUCGCGUCAACAUAGAACAACAGGAGUGUUGUGUCAAUUUUUGUAAUUUUUCGGGGUUCGUUUGGACAUUGUUAUGCAUUAACUGAGUUUUCAAUGCAUUUAUGUGCAUAAUUCAAAUUUCAACUACAUGCACAUGCUCCAGUGCAUAUAAAUUGAUUGAAAAAUCAAAUAUGUGUCCUUGGGUGCAUGCUUAGGUCCCAUGCAAGAAAUGGGAAUGAAUUUCAAACACCAGGGCACCGUGGAUUGCCUGCAAAACGUUGAGAUACCUGGUAUUUAAAUUCUAGUAAAUCCAAAACUCGUCUGAAAUUUAUGAAACUUGGCAUGGUAUCAUGGAGCGGCAUCAACAUGCCGUGGUAAAAAAUGUGUCCCAUUUGGGCCAGGUUUGGGUAUAAGCUUCUCACAAACCAGAGAUUCUCACAACAAGCAUGAUGGUUUCGAUAGGGAACGUCCCACCUUUGGGGACGAAACGAUAUCCAUUGCCUCUUAUUGCUUUCAAUUUUUUCGCGUGUCAACAUAGAACAACAGGAGUGUUGUGUCAUUUUUUGUGAUUUUUCGGGGUUCGUUUGGACAUUUUUAUGCAUUAACUGAGUUUUCAAUGCAUUUAUGUGCAUAAUUCAAAUUUGAACUACAUGCACAUGCUCCAGUGCAUAUAAAUUGGUUAAAAAAUCAAAUCUGUGUCCUUGGGUGCAUGCUUAGGUCCCAUGCAAGAAAUGAGAAUGAAUUUUAAACACCAGGGCACCGUUGAUUGCCGGCAAAACGUUGAGAUACCUGGUAUUUAAUAGUAAAUAUAAAACUUGUCUAAAAUUCAUGAAACUUGGCAUGGUAUCAUGGAAAGGCACCCGACAUGCUGAGCUAUUUUUCGUGUCCAUUUUGAGAGAAGGCGCACUCGAAUAAUGACAGCCAACAAAGGCAUUUUGAAAAAAUAGCUGCCACUUUAAUAUCUAAAACAUUUGUAUAAUUCAAACCGUGUGCGUUAUGUUAACCAUUCACGUGACACCACGUGUCUUGGUUUUAAUGGCUAUAGGAGGUGUCGUGUGGACAGCUGCUUGACCUUGACUGAACGGGAGGCGUGCGAGCGCAGUCCAGUGCACAGGCUCACCGGGAAGCGUACGAGCCGUUCAACGCAGGAUCUGUGCCUCUCUUCAACGCAAACGGUUCAGAUUACGGUAUGCAAAUUAAAGCCAGACUUCGGCGCUAAGCCAAGAGACACUGCGAUUUGUCAAAAUAUGCAGCUAAAAAUCAAUAGCACUAUCUAUUUUUUGCAACUCAAAUUCAGUAAUUAAGCGUAUAUUUCAUUCAUACUAGAGAUUAAGUAGUCGUUCUCACCGGGAAGCGAGACAGCCUUGGACCGCCGCCCGCCUCGCUCCCACUGGUCUAUAUUAAUGGCGGCGCCGAGCGGCCGCACCCCCCCAUCCUCGCCACACACACAAUUCCUCUCUCUCCGCCCGCAUCCUCGAUGCCGCUCUGAGUCCUCAAAGCCGCCAAUGUACGAGGAUGCCGCCGAAGUGCCCCAUCGGAGGGAGUGGCGACGACGCCGGGGCUGCUGAAGCACCGGAGCACGACGUAAAUAUGGAGACAGAGGUUUUCGUCACCGCCGACGAGGUGGAGAACGAGGCUGCCAACAAGCGGAGACGGGUCGGGAAAGAACCGCAAGCGACUCCAGCAGGCCUAGACUUCAUCAACAACCUCCCCGAUGAUAUGUUGAUAGUCAUCAUAUCCCUCCUCCCAAUCAAAUAUUGGGCGAGGACAGCCACCCUUUCCCGGCGGUGGAACCCCCUAUGGCUCCUCACCUCUGUCGACCUCCUCAACGCCCACAAGCUCUGCCAUGGCUAUCGCCAAAGCUUGGAUGCGUUCUCCUAGAUCCUCGGCAGUCACCAUGGCCCAAUCAAAGGCCUUAUCACGGGAAAGUUCCGUUCCAAUGGCAAGUACCAAGACAAGCUUGACGAGUGGUUCCGAUCCCCCGCCAUAGAUCAGCUCGAGAAGCUCAGUUUUAAUGAUGGGCAUAUGCACUUGCUGCCAACGCCCGCGCUCCGCUUCGCGCCCACGCUGCGCCUCGCCAAGUUCAUGAACUGCCAUCCCCCCUUAAUGACGCGCCCGCUCUUUUUCUACCACGACUGAAGCACCUCGAGCUCGUCGCCGUCCGCAUCCCAAAGGAUGACAUGGAGCGCCUGCUCCGCGCCUGUACUGCACUCGAGUUCCUUCGUCUUCAGGCGAUGAAUUGGUCGAGUACCUUGCACAUCACCUCCAGGACUCUCCAGACUAUUUAUUUGUGUUGCUGGUGCUACAACGAGAGAUCACAAAAGGUGGAACACAAUAUGGUCAUCCAGGACAUACCUUCACUUGAGAGAUUACUUGUAGUUGAUCAACAGGGUCCAACAAGAAUCAAUGUCAUUUCUGCGCCGAAAUUGAAAGUGGUGGGCUACUCGUCUGUCAAAUACUACAACUUUCAGGUUCAACAGUCGCCUUAUACCACUCCUUCUUGAUAUCAACGUUAUUUCUAGUUUAGAAGAUGUAUGUUCGUCUGUCAUCCAGCGAAGCUUCACCCAGACUCUGGGCACAGUGAAGGUUUUGGCACUAGAAUCUGUCGGCCCCAACCUGGACCAAGUUGUCAGUUGCCUGAGAUGCUUUCCAUGCCUGAAGAAGCUGUAUAUCGAGGUGAUGUUCCUUUCCUGUUAAAUGUUAACCAUAAGGGAGUUCAAUUUUUGGCACCUUUUCCCAAGUUUACAAUGACAAUGUACUACGAUUUCUGAAGGAAUUUUGGAGGAUUUUAGGACAUACACCCCCACCCCAUAUUGGUUGCUUCAUUCAUAUGGUUACAAUUGUCAAUAAGCAUUUCUCCUUUGGAUUCAUCUGUACUAGUUUUCUUAGGGAAUUUUUCAUCCAAUCCAACCUCUUGUGAAGAAGGCUACAUGUUUCUAGAUUGUAAUCAAACGCCCAUGUUAAUCAUGCCAGAGCGAAGAUGGCACAUUGGUGCAUUUUACAAAUCCUGCAAACCAAAUGGGCGUGUAGCAGUGUUCAAAACUGCAUGUAGGCACUAACACGUUCUCUUCUUUUGCAGAUAAUAAUAGGCCCGAAGGUGGAUAAUGUUUAUAACGACAAUCACAUCGAAUGCCUGGAUCUGCAUCUCUCAAAUAUUACUUUGAAAUCCUACCGAGGGACCUUACCGGAGAUUACACUCGCCAGGUUCUUUCUUGCCAGAGCAAAGGUGUUGAGGGUACUGAGGUUGAACACACAUUUAAUUAGGAAAGAUGAAUGGUAUGAUUAUCAGAGCUGGCAGGUACUGCGGAAUGGAAGAGCCUCCAAAAAUGCCAAACUUCGUAUUGGAAGAGCAUAUGGCAAAGCAAUUGGAAGUCAUUGUGUCAAACCCAUACAUGACUUGUCAGCGGCUGACCCCUUUUCAAAAAUGACGCAGCUUGCAAUGUUUGAAUUUGGGCGUUGUAAUCUUUGAUUUUGAACCUUGCAAUAUUUAUGGUAUUUGUUAUAUUGAACUGUUUCUGUUCUCUUGUCUCAACGCAAACAGUUCAUCCAAGUGAACCGCAUGUCGUAUAUCGCACACACCUUGAUCUGGCUGACCGUUUCUUUUGUGUUGCCUAAUCACAAAUAGUUCAUCCGAGUGAACUGUAUGCUGUACAUCGCACACACCUUGAUCCGGCUGACCGUUUCUUUUGUGUUGCCUAAUCACAAACAGUUCAUCCGAGUGAACCGUAUGAUGUACAUCGCACACACCUUCAUACGGCUGCCCGUUUCUUUUGUUCCUCCUCAUCGAAAACGGUUAAUUGAACUAAACCGUAUGCCUUGAAUUGCACACGCAACUAAAAUCUGAACCGUGUUUGAUGCAUCCGUCAUCGCAAACCUUUUGCACCUUUUCUGACGGUUUUUACACCACUGUUUGCGAUUAUGGCUUCGCACAUAGUUUCGUCGAAGAGUCUCUGAUCAUAGUGUCGCGUUAGCAGCAUCCUGCAGUAGUGACCUCCAACUAGGCCAAGGACCAUCGUAACUAGACUAAGAGCCGCAGCCCCCACUGGACCCACCCACUCCUCUAGUUAACCUAGGACCCGAACAGUAGUAGGUAGCACUGCAUCGCAUCAUUGUAGAAAUAAGUAGUCUGCUUGUAGAAUGUUUAGUCUAAACCCGUGUAAGAGCACUUGGCUAUGAGUUUAUUUGAGCAAUGUUAUUAUUCGAGUUUUGUGUGCCUUUAUUCGACGAUCUUUCUCCACCCUCACUAAUGGGAAACUACCACUAUUCACUUGGGGAAGGAUAUAGGAUGGGGAACCUCAACUGCCAUGGAAUUACCUCAGAGUUCAGUACGGUAGUCCGCCGGGGAGAGAACAAGGGACCUCUCCAUUUCCCUGCCAAUUACAAGCAACCACCAACCAACUCUUGGAGCUGAUAAACGGCUCCGGUCACCUAGGGUUGCAAGAGGACCGAAUGAGACGCAUCCACCUGACCAGCCAGACUACUACCAACCGUAGCAUGCUCAAAGCUCAGAAUACUCCCAAGGAAGGGCAGUCACCGAGGCAGACAUAGCAAUGGAAAUAUAUGCCACCCCAAUUGUGUGCCAGUUUCUGGACAUCUUCGCCGAUAAACCACCCACAAGACCACUAUCCAGAUCCUCGGAAUUUUCCAUUAAGCUAAAACAAGGAGUCAAGCCCUUGAGCUCACCUCAGCCCCGCAUGACCCCUGCUGAGACAACCCAGCUCCAAACAAUGCUAGACGAGAUGCAGUUAAAAGGAUUUAUUCGUCCAAGCAGUUCGCCAUGGAGAGCACCGGUCUUCAUCCAAAGAGGGAAAUGGAGAACUAUGAACCAACUACCACAACCUGAAUAAGUGCACAUUUCCACCUGAGAUGUACCUACUCAAGAUUACCAACUUAUUCGCACCACUGAAGUACGCAAGGGUAUUCUCCCAGAUCGACCUACAACAUGGACACUACCAAAUAAGAGUCAAAGAAGACAUAUAGAAGACUGGCUUCACCACCAAAUUCGGUACCUUCGAGUUCGCCUUCAUGCCUCCCGGAUUGAUAGGCUCCCCCACCUACUGCAGAACCUUAUUAAACAACAUGAUAUGGGACUUUCAAGGCCAGUUUGUACUUUUGGUCGCCGAUGACCCCAUCAUCUACUCCAACACCAAGGAAGAACACCAACAACACCUUCGUGUUGUUCUGCAAGUCCUGCGUACCCAUCACCUAUAUGUCAACCUUCAGAGAAGCACAUUUUGGUGAAGCGAAGUCAAAACAAUGGGGCACACAAUAUCCUCCCUAGGAUUAACUAUUAGUUCCCAAAAAAGUUGAACCGAUAAUAAGUUGGGAAACCCUAUUCACUCCCAAGCACAUACGUGACUUCCCGCGAGAAGCCGUCAGCUACGGUCGUUUCAUCAAAGGAUUCAGUAAAUUCACCAACCCACUAACCGAGCUGUUAACAGAAGAACGUCUAUUCAAAUGGACUGAGGCAUGCGAGUCCAAAUUCCUGGAGAUAAAGACCCGGAUAGCCAUGGCACCAAUACUAGCACUACCAUACGUCUGCAAGCGAUUCACCAUCCAGUACGACACUUCUACACUAGGCAUCGGUGGAGGCCUCCUACAAGAAGGAAGAGCCAUCGCCUAUGCAUCCCGCCGCCUCCAGCCUCAAGAAGAAGGAUGAUCUGCCAAAGUACUAGAGCUAAUAUUCGUAAUACACGCGCUGAAGGCAUGGUGAUGCCACCUCCAGGUCACUGAUGUGAGAUAUAUGACGACCACAACGAGAUUAGAUUCAUCUUCAACCAACCCGACACCAACCUCAGCAAGCGCCGCUACCUGAAUGCAGUCCGCAAUAGUGCCUUGGAAGAUUAUAACCCUUUGGAAGAAGGCGAGAUGGACACCCUCACUCCCAAAACCAUGAUUUGCAACCCAGUCCUGCAAAAAGAAUACAUCCGACUCAACAUGAUCCUCCAUGGACUACCAAGUGUAGACUCCAGGAAGAACCGGGACAUGAUAGAAGAAGACAUCAGCAAGGCUCAAGAAAACCACGCCAGCCUCCAACAAGUCAUUAAAGACGCCAAGCUAGGAGCAACAAGGACCUUUCAACUAGAUCCACAAGGCAUCCUAACACUACAAAAAAACACUUCUGUAAUGAUACGUGUUUGUCAUAGUAGGUCGCGUUUUCUGUCAUGCAUGUACAUCCAUGACAAUUUUAUGACAGAAUCAAGAUAUCAUACCUAUGGUGUCGUUGAAGUGUUCCAUGAUAAUACUGAAAUUAUCAUCACGGAAGUGUCCACUUCCAUGACGAUAAAUGACGCAUCAUGGAAGUGCUUUCUUUAAGGGUAACCGACACAUGGCAUCCACCAUAACCGGUCGCCGUUAAGCUAUCGGGCCCGGUUUUGGAUCCGAUAACCUGUUAACAACAAUGACCAAUGCCGAUUUUCCAUGUGUAAAAUUCUCAUUGGCUGGAGGAAACACGUGUCGGCUCCGCGAUGGGAAGAUGUCAUCCAUCCAAUGGAGUAGACGUGCCUAUGAUACGUUGACACAUGGCACGGCCCAAUAGAGGCCCAUAUAGGUUAAAAAGGCUGGCUCAGUCAAAGGCUCGUAUGAUUUAAUAAGGUACUAGUGGGCUGGCCCACUAAUGGCCUGCUUAAACAUGGCCCAUUUACGGCCCACCGCCAGAUCUGGCACGUUAAUUGUUCGCUCAGUCUUUUGGCCCAAUUACGACCCAGUGAGUUUUCGGCCUAUUAGAGGCCCGAUGUAGACAUGGGACCAUUUUAGCCCGGUGUGUCUUUCGGCCUGGUAAUGGCCUGUGCUUCCCAUGGGCCAUAUAUGGUCGGACGCGACAUUCGACCCACUAACUAUUGGGAAACGUUGCAUGGAAAACAAAAAAUUCUACGCACACGCAAGAUCUGUCCAUGGAGAUGCAUAUGAACGAGAGGGGAGAGUGUGCCUACGUAUCCUCGUAGACCAUAAGCGGAAGAGUUUAACAACGUGGUUGAUGUAGUCGAACUUCUUCGCGCUCCAACCGAUCAAGUAUUGAACGUACAACACCUCCGCGUUCAGCACACGUUCAGCUCGGUGACGUCCUCCGCCUUCUUGAUCCAGCAAGACGGUGAGGUAGUAGAUGAGUUCCGGUAGCACGACAGCGUGGUGACGGUGGUGGUGAAGCUAUCUUCGCAGGGCUUCGCCUAAGCACUACAAAAAUAUGACCGAGGGUGUAAACGGUGGAGGGGGCAACCGCACACGGCUAAGGUAAUGUUCUGGUGUGCUAGGCGCCCCCUCCCACAUAUAUAUAGGUGGGGGGAGGAGGGAGCAGCCAGGAGGGUGCCCCAAGUAGGCCGAAUCCUACUUGGGGUCUCCUCCCAAGUGGCGCCCCCUGCCAUGUAUAGGUGCGAGGGGGGGGGAGGCACGGGAGGGAGCCCCCCUUUUCCUUUCUCCAUGAGAUGGGGAAGGCAGGAGGGGCUAGCCUUCCCCCCUUUUCUUCCCUAGGGCUGGCCGGCCAGGAAGAGGGGCGCACCGGCCCCUUGUGGGCUGGUCUGUCUCCUCCUNNNNNNNNNNNNNNNNNNNNNNNNNNNNNNNNNNNNNNNNNNNNNNNNNNNNNNNNNNNNNNNNNNNNNNNNNNNNNNNNNNNNNNNNNNNNNNNNNNNNNNNNNNNNNNNNNNNNNNNNNNNNNNNNNNNNNNNNNNNNNNNNNNNNNNNNNNNNNNNNNNNNNNNNNNNNNNNNNNNNNNNNNNNNNNNNNNNNNNNNNNNNNNNNNNNNNNNNNNNNNNNNNNNNNNNNNNNNNNNNNNNNNNNNNGAUGACUACCCGGUGCAUCCCGAAACUCUUCCGGUGUUCGACUACCAUCGUCCUAUAUAUCAAUCUUUACCUCUCGACCUAUUCGAGACUCCUCGUCAUGUCCGUGAUCUCAUCCGGGACUCCGAACAACAUUCGGUCACCAAAUCAUAUAACUCAUACAACACUAUAUCGUCAAUGAACGUUAAGCGUGCGGACCCUACGGGUUCGAGAACUAUGCAGACAUGACCGAGACACUUCUCUGGUCAAUAACUGAUAACCCACAAGUAUAGGGGAUCGCAACAGUUUUCGAGGGUAGAGUAUUCAACCCAGAUUUAUUGAUUUGACACAAGGGGAGCCAAAGAAUAUUCUCAAGUAUUAGCAGCUGAGUCUCAAUUCAACCACACCUGAAAGACUUAAUGUCUGCAGCAAAGUAUUUAGUAGCAAAGUAGUAUAGAAGUAACGGUAACAGCGGCAAAAGUAACAGUAGCAGUUUUUGUAGCAAUCGUAACAGUGGCAACGGAAAAGUAACUAAGCAAAGAUCAAUAUGUGAAAAGCUCGUAGGCAAUGGAUCAAUGAUGGAUAAUUAUGUCGGAUGCGAUUCCUCAUGCAACAGUUAUAACAUAGGGUGACACAGAACUAGCUUCAGUUCAUCAAUGUAAUGUAGGCAUGUAUUCCGAAUAUAGUUAUACGUGCUUAUGGAAAAUAACUUGCAUGACAUCUUUUGUCCUACCCUCCCGUGGCAGCGGGGUCCUAUUGGAAACUAAGGGAUAUUAAGGCCUCCUUUUAAUAGAGUACCAGACCAAAGCAUUAACACUUAGUGAAUACAUGAACUCCUCAAACUACAGUCAUCAUCGGGAGUGGUCCCGAUUAUUGUCACUUCGGGGUUGCCGGAUCAUAACACAUAGUAGGUGACUAUUGACUUGCAAGAUAGGAUCAAGAACUCACAUAUAUUCAUGAAAACAUAAUAGGUUCAGAUCUGAAAUCAUGGCACUCGGGCCCUAGUGACAAGCAUUAAGCAUAAAAAAGUUAUAGCAACAUCAAUCUUAGAACAUAAUGGAUACUAGGGAUCAAACCUAACAAAACUAACUCAAUUACAUGGUAAAUCUCAUCCAACCCAUCACCAUCUAGCAAGCCUACGAUGGGAUUACUCACGCAUGGCGGUGAGCAUCAUGAAAUUGGUGAUGGAGGAUGGUUGAUGAUGACGUUGGCGACGGAUUCCCCUCUCCGGAGCCCCGAACGGACUCCAGAUCAGCCCUCCCGAGGAAGAUUAGGGCUUGGCGCGGCUCUGUAUCGUAAAACGCGAUGAAUCCUUCUCUCUUAUUUUUUUCUCCCCGAAAGUGAAUAUAUGGAGUCGGGGUUGAGGUCGGUGGAGUCCCAGGGGGCCCACGAGGCAGGGGGCGCGUCCCAGGGGGGCGCCCUGCACCCUCGUGGACAGGGUGCGGGCCCCUGAUGCUGAUUCUUUCGCCAAUAUUUUUCAUUAAUUCCAAAACGUGUCUCUGUGGAUUUUCAGGUCAUUCCGAGAACUUUUAUUUCUGCACAAAAAUAACACCAUGGUAAUUCUGCUGAAAACAGCGUCAGUCCGGAUUAGUUCCAUGCAAAUCAUGCAAGUUAGAGUCCAAAACAAGGGAAAAAGUGUUUGGAAAAGUAGAUACGUUGGAGACGUAUCAACUCCCCCAAGCUUAAACCUUUGCUUGUCCUCAAGCAAUUCAGUUGACAAACUGAAAGUGAUAAAGAAAAACUUUUACAAACUCUGUUUGAUCUUGUUGUUGCAAAUAUGUAAAGCCAGCAUUCAAGUUUUCAGCAAAGAUUAUGAACUAACCAUAUUCACAAUAACAUUUAGGUCUCAUGUUUACUCAUAUCAAUGACAUAAUCAACUAGCGAGCAAUAAUAAUAAAUCUCGGAUGACAACACUUUCUCAAAACAAUCAUAACAUGAUAUAACAAGAUGGUAUCUCGCUAGCCCUUUCUGAGACCGCAAAACAUAAAUGCAGAGCACCCCUGAAGAUCAAGGACUGACUAGACAUUGUAACUCAUGGUAAAAGAGAUCCAGUCACAGUCAUACUCAAUGUAAAUUAAUAGCAAUGCAUGCGAAUGAAAGUGGUGCUCUCCAACUGGUGCUUUUUAAUAAGAGGAUGAUGACUCAACAUAAAAGUAAAUAGAUAGGCCCUUCAUAGAGGGAAGCAGGGAUUUGCAGAGGUGCCAGGGCUCGAGUUUUGAAAUAGAGAUAAAUAAUAUUUUGAGUGGCAUACUUUCAUUGUCAACAUAACAACCAAGAGGUCUCGAUAUCUUCCAAGCUACACACAUUAUAGGCGGUUCCCAAACAGUGGUAAAGUUUAUACUCCCCCACCACCAACAAGCAUCAAUCCAUGGCUUGCCCGAAACAACGGGUGCCUCCAACUAACAACAAUCCUGGGGGAGUUUUUUUUGCAAUUAUUUUGAUUUGAUUUGAGCAUGGAACUGGGCAUCCCGGUUACCGGCCAUUUUCUCGUGAGUGAUGAGCGGAGUCCACUCAUCGUGAGAAUAACCCACCUAGCAUGGAAGAUAUAGACAGCCCUAGUUGAUACAUGAGCUAUUUAAGCAUACAAAUCAGAAUUUCAUUUGAAGGUUUAGAGUUUGGCACAUACAAAUUUACUUGGAACGGCAGGUAAAUACCGCAUAUAGGAAGGUAUGGUGGACUCAUAUGGAAUAACUUUGGGGUUUAUGGAAAUGGAUGCACAAGCAGUAUUCCCGCUUAGUACAAGUGAAGGCUAGAAAGAGACUGGGAAGCGACCAACUAGAGAGCGACAACAGUCAUGAACAUGCAUUAAGAUUAAUCAACAAUGAGUGCAAGCAUGAGUAGGAUAUAAAUCACCAUGAACAUAAAUAUCGUGGAGGCUAUGUUGAUUUUGUUUCAACUACAUGCGUGAACAUGUGCCAAGUCAAGCCACUCGAAUCGUUCAAAGGAGGAUACCACCCUAUCAUACCACAUCACAACCAUUUUAAUAGCAUGUUGGCACGCAAGGUAAACCAUUAUAAACUCCUAGCUAAUUAAGCAUGGCAUGACCAACUAUAAUCUCUAAUUGUCAUUGCAAACAUGUUUCAUUCAUAAUAGGCUGAAUCGGGAACGAUGAACUAAUCAUAUUUACAAAAACAAGAUAGGUCGAGUUCAUACCAGCUUCUCUCAUCUCAAUCAGUCCAUCAUAUAUCGUCAUUAUUGCCUUUCACUCGCACGACCGAACGGUGUGGAUAAUAAUAAUAGUGCACGUGCAUUGGACUAAGCUGGAAUAUGCAAGCAUUUAAUACAAGGGAGAAGACAAGGUAAUAUGGGCUCUUGGUUAAAUCAACAAUAAUGCAUAUGAGAGCCACUUAACAUUUUCAUCGUGGUCUUCUCCUUUUGACCCCCAAAGAAAAGAAAAGAAAUAAAACUAUUUACACGGGAAAGCUCCCAACAAGCAAAAGAAGAACGAGAAUUUUUUUGGGUUUUCUUUUAAUUACUACUACAGGCAUGGAAAGUAAACUAGCUAAAAGCUACAACUAAUUUUUUUGGUUUUUCUUGAGGUUUUUCAAACACACAAGAAGAAGGCUUAGAGAAGAAAAUAAACUAGCAUGGAUAGUACAAUGAAAAAGUAUGAGCACCGACAACUAGAAUGAGUGUGUGAACAUGAAUGUAAUGUCGGUGAGAAAUACGUACUCCCCCAAGCUUAGGCUUUUGGCCUAAGUUGGUCUAUGGCCACUGCUGGCGUGGCAGAUAUCCAAAGUCGUAGCUGGGGUUGUACUGAGAUGCAGCAGCUACUGCCUGAAGAGUUGCAGCUCGGAGGCGAGCUGCUUCCGUCCUCCUCUCAUACUCGUUAGCCACCUCCCUGGUUAUAACAUAUCUCCUUUUUGCCUGAAAGUUAAAGAAAGUAGGAGCAGGGAGGGCAACAUGGACAGUGCGCUGUCUGUCAAAGAUUAGUCGAUACUGGAGGAACUGUUCAUUCCUCUCAAGAAACUGAUGGCGAACCAUAGCACUAUAAUCUAGAUAAGCAGGAGGUAACUCCAUAUCAUUUUCAUGUAUGGGUACAUCAAGAUAAUUAGCUACACGAGUUGCAUAAAUUCCACCAAACAAAUCUCCACUUGUACCAUUAAGAUGCAACCUUUAUGCAACAAUGGCCCCCAAGUUAUAUUAUUUAUCACCUAAUACCGCACUCUUGAGGACACUAAGAUCUGGAACGCACAUGUGACAAGCCUCAUCUUUACCGUUAAUGCAUCUACCUGUAAAGAGAGCAAAUAAUGUAUGGAAGGGGAAUGAAUUCUCCCUAUGGUAGCUUGUGUGAUUUCUCUAGAUUCCCCCACAGUGAUACUAGCAAGAAAGUCUUUAUAUUCAGAUUUGCGAGGUUCACUAACAUUGCCCCACUGCGGGAGUUUACAAGCAGUAUUAAAAUCUUCUCGGUCCAUGGUAUAUGAUUUAUCAUAAAGAUCAAAUAAAACAGUGUGAGAAUUGCGUGAGGAUGUAAAUUUAAACCUCCUCACAAAGGAAUCAGUUAGGUAGUGGUACUGUAGGCACUUAUCUGACACGAAGUCCUCAAGAUCAACAAUACGCACAUACGCGUCAAAUUCAUCCUUGAUGUCUGCCUGGACCAUAAACUCUUCUAACGUCCAUUCACAAGGCCGCACUUGAGCUUCCCUCGGUGGUUCAUCGUCCGGCUCGCGUAUCGCGAGCCUUGGUCCUUGCUUCCUUGAGGAACAACCUUGGUACAUUUUCCUAUGCAUUUUUCUUUCUCUGAAAAUUUCUGAAAUUUUUAGUGACUCAAAAUAAAAGUGAACAAAACUAAACAAGAUUGAUAGCAACUACUCCCAAAAGUGCCUAGAGGCUAUAUCAUGCAUUAAAACUACUUUGGGCCAUAUAAAUUUGACAUGCAAUCUCAAGAACAUGGUCACCUUAGCAGCAAAAAUUUGCAAUAAAUAAAGCACUAGAACAAAAACUAAUUGGACCAUUGGAGGAGUUACAUACCGAAGAACAAUCUCUCCAAACAGUUUUGUGAAUGGAGCUUUGAGCAAAGAGGUCGAAAAUGGCAGCAAGAUGAGCUAGAACGCGGGUUUGAGCUAUGGGAGGAUUUUUUCUGGAGGAAGACAAAGUGAGUGGGUGCUGGAAUAAGUGGAGGGGGUCCAUGUGGGGCCCACGAGGCAGGGGGCGCGCCCCAGGGGGUGGGCGUGCCCUGUGCCCUCGUGGCCAAAUGGUGGGCCCCCUGGUGUGUUCUCAGUGCCAGACAUUCUUAAAUAUUCUACAAAAAAAAUCAUAUUUCAUUUUUAGGGCGUUUGGAGAACUUUUAUUUUCGGGGUAUUUUUUCUGGCAAGGAUAAUUCAGAAAACAGACAGAAAAUACUAAUUUUGCUUUAUUUAAUCUAAAUAACAGAAAGUAAAAGGAGGGUACAGAGAGUUGUGCUUUUUCUAACUUCAUCCAUCUCAUGCUCAUCAAAUGGAAUCCACUAACAAGGUUGAUCAAGUCUUGUUAACAAACUCUUCCCGAAUAACACGAAACCGGAGAAUUAUUGAAUAACACUAGGUUACCUCAACGGGGAUAUGCAUGUCCCCAACAAUAAGAAUAUCAUAUUUCUUCUUGAUAGUAGGAAAAGGGAAUUCAAAACCUCCAAUAGUAAUCGUUGAAAUUUUUCCAAUAGAAUUGAUACUGUGGACUUGAGGUUGUUUCCUCGGAAAGUGUACCGUAUGCUCAUUACCAUUAACAUGAAAAGUGACAUUGCCUUUGUUGCAAUCAAUAACCGCCCCUGCAGUAUUCAAAAAGGGUCUACCGAGGAUAAUCGACAUACUAUCGUCCUCGGGAAUAUCAAGAAUAACAAAGUCCGUUAAAAUAGUAACGCUUGCAACCACAACAGGCACAUCCUCACAAAUGCCGACAUGUAUAGUAGUUGAUUUAUCGGCCAUUUGCAAAGAUAUUUUAUUAGGUGUCAACUUAUUCAAAUCAAGUCUACGAUAUAAAUAGAGAGGCAUAACAUUAACACCGGCUCCAAGAUCACAUAAAGCAGUUUUAACAUAGUUUCUUUUAAUGGAGCAUGGUAUAGUUGGUACUCCUGGAUCUCCUAGUUUCUUUGGUAUUCCACCUGUAAAAGUAUAAUUGGCAAGCAUGGUGGAAAUUUCAGCUUCCGGGAUCUUUCUUUUAUUUGUAACAAUAUCUUUCAUAUACUUAGCAUAAGGAUUCAUUUAAGCAUAUCAGUCAAACGCAUACGCAAAAAGAUAGGUCUAAUCAUUUCAGCAAAGCGCUCAAAAUCCUCAUCAUCCUUUUUCUUGGAUGGUUUUGGAGGAAAAGGCAUGGGUUUCUGACCCAUGGUUCUCUUUCUUUACCGUGCUUCCUAGCAACAAAGUCUCUCUUAUCAUAACGUUGAUUCUUUGAUUGUGGGUUAUCAAGAUCAACAACAGGUUCAAUCUCUACAUCAUUGUUAUUGCUAGGUUUAGCAUCAUCAUGAACAUCAUCAUUAACAUUAUCACUAGGUUCAUGUUCAUUACCAGAUUGUGUUUGAGCCUCAGAAAUAGAAAUAUAAUUGGGAUUCUCAGGUGUGUCAAUAGCAGGUUCACUAGAAGCAUGCAAAGUCCUAUCUUUUUUCUUUUUCUUCAUCUUAGAAGGACUAGGUGCAUCAACAUUAGUUCUCUGAGAAUCUUGCUCAACUCUCUUAGGGUGGCCCUCAGGAUACAAAUGUUCCUGAGUCAUUUUACCCCCUGUAGUCAUAAAUCUAAUAGCAUUAUCAUUUUUCUUAUUAUUUAAUUCAUUGAGCAAAUCAUCUUGUGCUUUAAGCACUUGUUCUACCUGAGUGGUAACCAUAGAAGCAUGUUUACUAAUAAGUUUAAGGUCACCUUUAACUCUAGACAUAUAAUCACUCAAGUGUUCAACCAUAUAAGCAUUACAUUUCAAUUGUCUACCAACAUAAGCAUUGAAGUUUUCUUGUUUAACAAUAAAACUAUCAAACUCAUCCAAGCAUUGACUAGCAGACUUAUUACGAGGAAUAUCACCUUCAUCAAAUCUAUAGAGAGAAUUUACCUUUACUACCUGUGUCGGGUUAUUAAGACCAUGUAUUUCUUCAAUAGGUGGUAAAUUCUUAACAUCUUCAGCUUUAAUACCCUUUUCUUUCAUAGAUUUCUUUGCUUCUUGCAUAUCUUCAGGACGGAGAAAUAGAAUACCCCUUUUCUUCGGAGUUGGCUUAGGAGUUGGUUCAGGAAGUGUCCAAUCAUUAUCAUUAUUCAAUAUAUUAUUCAAUAGCAAUUCAGCUUGCUCAACAGUUCUUUCCCUGAAAACACAACCAGCACAUCUAUCCAGGUGGUCUCUGGAAGCAUCAGUUAGUCCAUUAUAAAAGAUAUCAAGUAUUUCAUUUUUCUUGAGAGGAUGAUCGGGCAAAGCACUAAGUAAUCGGAGAAGCCUCCCCCAAGCUUGUGGGAGACUCUCUUCUUCAAUUUGCGCAAAAUUAUAUAUUUCCCUUAAGGCAGCUUGUUUCUUAUGAGCGGGGAAAUAUUUAGCAGAGAAGUAAUAAAUCAUAUCCUGGGAACUACGCACACAACCAGGAGCAAGAGAAUUAAACCAUGUUUUAGCAUCACCCUUUAAUGAGAACAAAAAUAACUUAAGGAUAUAGUAGUAACGAAUUUUUUCCUCAUGAGUGAAUAGGGUGGCUAUAUCAUUCAAUUUAGUAAGAUGUGCCACAACAGUUUCAGAUUCAUAGCCAUAAAAAGGAUCAGAUUCAACCAAAGUAAUUAACUCAGGAUCGACAGAGAAAUCAUAAUCCUUAUCAGAAAUACAGAUAGGUGAAGUAGCAAAAGCAGGGUCAUAUUUCAUUCUAGCAUUCAAAGACUUUUCUUUCAGCUUAGCUAACAGUUUCUUAAGAUCAUAUCUAUCUUUGCAAGCAAAAAGGUCUCUAGCAGUUUCUUCAUCCAUAACAUAAUCCUCAGGCACAUCAGCCAAUUCAUAUGUAGGGGGAGAAUCUUCAUCAUCACUUUCAUCAAUAUUAUCUGUUUUAGUAAUUUCAUUCUCUCUAACCCUAGCAAGUUGUUCAUCAAGAAAUUCACCUAAUGGCACAGUAUUAUCAAGCAUAGAAGUAGUUUCAUCAUACGCAUCAUGCAUAGCAGAAGUGGCAUCAUCAAUAACAUGCGACAUAUAAGAAUCAAUAACAGGUGUAGGUGUCGCAAAUUUACUCAUAACAGAAGGUGAAUCAAGUGCAGAGCUAGAUGGCAGUUGCUUACCUCCCCUCGUAGUUGAGGGAAAAAUCUUGGUUCUUUCAUCUUUCAAGUUCCUCAUAGUGAUCAACAGAUAUAAAUCCCAAGUGACUCAAAGAAUAGAGCUAUGCUCCCUGGCAACGGCACCAUAAAAUAGUCUUGAUAACCCACAAGUAUAGGGGGUCGCAAGAGUUUUCGAGGGUAGAGUAUUCAACCCAAAUUUAUUGAUUCAACACAAGGGGAGCCAAAGAAUAUUCUCAAGUAUUAGCAGCUGAGUUGUCAGUUCAACCACACCUGAAAGACUUAAUAUCUGCAGCAAAGUAUUUAGUAGAAAAGUAGUAUAGAAGUAACGGUAACGGCAGCAAAAGUAACAGUAGCAGUUUUUGUAGCAAUCGUAACAGUGGCAACGGAAAAGUAACUAAGCAAAGAUCAAUAUGUGAAAAGCUCAUAGGCAAUGGAUCAAUGAUGGAUAAUUAUGUCGGAUGUGAUCCCUCAUGCAACCGUUAUAACAUAGGGUGACACAGAAAUAGCUCCAGUUCAUCAAUGUAAUGUAGGCAUGUAUUCCGAAUAUAGUCAUAUGUGCUUAUGGAAAAUAACUUGCAUGACAUCUUUUGUCCUACCCUCCUGUGGCAGCGGGGUCCUGUUGGAAACUAAGGGAUAUUAAGGCCUCCUUUUAAUAGAGUACUGGACCAAAGCAUUAACACUUAGUGAAUACAUGAACUCCUCAAACUACGGUCAUCACCGGGAGUGGUCCCGAUUAUUGUCACUUCGGGGUUGCCAGAUCAUAACACAUAGUAGGUGACUAUUGACUUGCAAGAUAGGAUCAAGAACUCACAUAUAUUCAUGAAAACAUAAUAGGUUUAGAUCUUAAAUCAUGGCACUCGGGCCCUAGUGACAAGCAUUAAGCAUAACAAAGUCAUAGCAACAUCAAUCCUAGAACAUAAUGGAUACUAGGGAUCAAACCCUAACAAAACUAACUCGAUUACAUGGUAAAUCUCAUCCAACCCAUCACCGUCCAGCAAGCCUACGAUGGGAUUACUCACGCACAGCGGUGAGGAUCAUGAAAUUGGUGAUGGAGGAUGGUUGAUGAUGACGAUGGCGACGGAUUCCCCUCUCCAGAGCCCCGAACGGACUCCAGAUCAGCCCUCCCGAGGAAGAUUAUGGCUUGGCGGCGGCUCCGUAUCGUAAAACGCGAUGAAUCCUUCUCUCUGAUUUUUUUCUCCCCGAAAGUGAAUAUAUGGAGUCAGGGUUGAGGUCGGUGGAGUCCCAGGGGGCCCACGAGGCAGGGGUGCGCGCCCCACCCCUUCAACCUCGUGGACAGGGUGUGGGCCCCCUGAUGCUAAUUCUUUCGCCAAUAUUUUUCAUUAAUUCCAAAACGUGUCUCCGUGGAUUUUCAGGUCAUUCCGAUAAGUUUUAUUUCUACACAAAAAUAACACCAUGGCAAUUCUGCUGAAAACAGCAUCAGUCCGGGUUAGUUCCAUUCAAAUCAUGCAAGUUAGAGUCCAAAACAGGGGCAAAAGUGUUUGGAAAAGUAGAUACGUUGGAGACGUAUCAAUAACCAAUAGCAGAAUCUAGAUGCCCAUAUUGGCUCCUACAUAUUCUAGGAAGAUCUUUAUCGGUCGAACCGUUAUGACAACAUACGUAAUUCCCUUUGUCCAUCGGUAUGUUACUUGCCCGAGGUUCGGUCAUCGGUAUCUUCAUACUAGUUCAGUCUCGUUACCGGCAAGUCUCUUCCCCUAAUACGUCAUAUCAUAACAAACUCCUUAGUCAUUUGCUUGCAAGCUUAUGAUGUGUAUUAACGAGAGGGCCCAGAGAUACCUCUCCGAUACUCGGAGUGACAAAUCCUAAUCUCGAUCUAUGCCAACUCAACAAACACCUUUGGAGAUACCUGUAGAGCAUCUUUAUGAUCACCCAUUUAUGUCGUGAUGUUUGAUAGCACACAAGGUAUUCCUCCGGUAUCCGGGAGUUGCAUAAUCUCAUAGUUGACAUGAAGAAAGGAAUAGCAGUAAACUGAACGAUCAAUAUGCUAAGCUAACGGAUGGGUCUUGUCCAUCACAUCAUUCUCCUAAUGAUGUGAUCCCGUUAUCAAAGGAAAACACAUGGCUAUGAUUAGGAAACCUUAACCAUCUUUGAUCAAUGAGCUAGUCUAGUAGAGGCUUACUAGGGACACGGUAUUUGUUUAUGCAUUCACACAUGUAUUUAAGUUUCCGAUCAAUACAAUUAUAGCAUGAAUAAUAAAGCUUUAUCAUGAAUAAGGAAAUAUAAAAUAAGAACUUUAUUAUUGCCUCUAGGGCAUAUUUCCUUCAGUAUCCCACUUGCACUAGAGUCAAUAAUCUAGAUUACAUAGUAAUGAAUCUAACACCCAUGGAGUCUUGGUGCUGAUCAUGUUUUGCUCGUGGAAGAGGCUUAGUCAACGGGUCUGCCACAUUCAGAUCCAUAUGUAUUUUGCAAACUUCUAUGUCUCCAUCCUUGACCUUUUCACGGAUGGAGUUGAAGCGUCUCUUGAUGUGUUUGGUUCUCUUGUGAAACCUGGAUUCCUUCGCCAAGGCAAUUGCUCCAUUGUUGUCACAAAAGAUUUUCAUUGGACUCGAUGCACUAGGUAUUACACCCAGAUUGGAUAUGAACUCCUUCAUCCAGACUCCUUCAUGUGCUGCUUUCGAAGCAGCUAUGUACUCUGCUUCACACGUAGAUCCCGCCAUGACGCUCUGAUUGGAACUGCACCAACUGACAUCUCCACCAUUCAAUAUAAAAACGUAUCCGGUUUGUGACUUAGAGUCAUCCGGAUCAGUGUCGAAGCUAGCAUCAACAUAACCAUUUACGACGAGCUCUUCGUCACCUCCAUAAAUGAGAAACAUAUCCUUGGUCCUUUUCAGGUACUUCAGGAUGUUCUUGACCGCUGUCCAAUGAUCCACUCCUGGAUUACUUUGGUACCUCCCUGCCUGACUUAUGGCAAGGCACACAUCAGGUCUGGUACAUAGCAUAGCAUACAUGAUAGAACCUAUGGCUGAGGCAUAGCGAAUGACUUUCAUUUUCUCUAUAUCUUCUGCAGUGGUCGGGCUUUGAGUCUGACUCAACUUCACACCUUGUAACACAGGCAAGAACCCUUUCUUUGACUGAUCCAUUUUGAAAUUCUUCAAAACUUUAUCAAGGUAUGUGCUUUCUGAAAGUCCUAUUAAGUGUCUCGAUCUAUCUCCAUAGAUCCUGAUGACCAAUAUAUAUAAGCAGCCUCACCGAGGUCUUCCAUUGAAAAAUUCUUAUUCAAGUAUCCUUUUAUGCUAUCUAGAAAUUCUAUAUCAUUUCCAAUCAACAAUAUGUCAUCCACAUAUAAUAUCAGAAAUGCUACAGAGCUCCCGCUCACUUUCUUAAUACAAGCUUCACCGUAAGUCUAUAUAAAACUAUAUGCUUUGAUCACCUCAUCAAAGCGUAUAUUCCAACUCUGAGAUGCUUGCACCAGUCCAUAGAUGGAUCACUGGAGCUUGCACACUUUGUUAGCACCUUUAGGAUCGACAAAACCUUCUGGUUGCAUCAUAUACAACUCUUCUUCAAUAAAUCCAUUAAGGAAUGCAGUUUUGAUGUCCAUUUGCCAAAUUUCAUAAUUAUAAAAUGCGGCAAUUUCUAACAUGAUUCAGACAGACUUAAGCAUCGCUACGGGUGAGAAAGUCUCAUCAUAGCCAACUCCUUGAACUUGUCAAAAACCUUUCACGACAAGUCAAGCUUUGUAGAUAGUAACAUUACCAUCAGCGUCAGUCUUCUUCUUGAAGAUCCAUUUAUUCUCAAUGGCUUGCUGAUCAUCGGGCAAGUCCACGAAAUUCCACACUUUGUUCUCAUACAUGGAUCCUAUCUCAGAUUUCAUGGCCUCAAGCCAUUUAUCGGAAUCUGGGCAUCAUAGCUUCAUCAUAGUUCGUAGGUUCACCUUGGUCUAGCAACAUGACUUCCAGAACAGGAUUACCGUACCACUCUGGUGCGGAUCAUGCUCUGGUUGACCUAUGAGGUUUAGUAGCAACUUGAUCUGAAGUUUCAUAAUCAUUAUCAUUUUGCUUCCUCUCUAUUUGGUGUAGGCAUCACGAUAACGAUUUUCUGUGAUGUGCUACUUUCCAAUUCGAGAGAAGGUACAAUUAGCUCAUCAAGUUCUACUUUCCUCCCACUCACUUCUUUCGAGAGAAACUCCAUCUCUAGAAAGGUUCCCUUCUUGGCAACAAAGAUCUUGCCUUCGGAUCUGUGGUAGAAGGUGUACCCAAUUGUUUCCUUAGGGUAUCCUAUGAAGACGCACUUCUUCGAUUUGGGUUUGAGCUUAUCAGGCUGAAGCCUUUUGACAUAAGUGUCGUAACCCCAAACUUUAAGAAACGAUAGCUUGGGUUUCUUGCCAAACCACAGUUCAUACGGUGUCUUCUCAAUGGAUUUAGAUGGUAACCUAUUUAACGUGAAUGCGGCUGUCUCUAAUGUAUAACCCCAAAACGAUAGUGGUAAAUCGGUUGCUUUAAAAUUGUUCAUAUAUUUAGACAUGACAAUCCGAAAGAGUUGGCACAACAAGCAUCCGGCUACUAUGUUAAUCAUGGUGUAUUGCAUUUCUCUCAAUAGCCGAUGCUUUGUCUCGUCAACAUAGGUAAGGCCUAACCGAAGUCCACAGCUUCAGACACUAAUGAGAUUUUUAUGCAGGCGAAAGUAAGGAUUGGAGAAAGUUUAUUGUUGAUUAUCUACAAAAUCCUAGCAAAAGGGUGAACAAUAUGGUUUGGAGGAUGACCUUGAGAUACAUAUCUAUGGAACUUUAUCAUCGGAUUGUUCAUGAAGUUGAGAAGGUUUCGCCCAAGUUUGCAUCAAGGAUUCAAAAAUAAUAAUGGCCGAUGUAUAAUUAUCGCCAUAAGCAUAUAAAUGGCCGAUGGAGUGUUGACAUCGUCCUUAGAACCAACAUUGUACAAGUUAUUUUUCGGCACGCUAGCUUUGCCAAAAAACAGGGGGGCAUGUGUUGACGCUGAAAAGUGGCAUGAUCAUAAAGAGUAGCUUGAAGCUAUGUCAAGAUUAAUUCAAUCUUAUUAUUGAAGUCACCAUGGGAUGGCUCUUUUCGAGAAGAUCAUGAUGGAUAUGAAGAUGGUCUAAAACGGAGCCCGAAUGCAAAAGUUAUGACAAGUUCAAAGAUGCUCAUGUUGACACCAAAUUAAAGAAUGGAUUGAAACCCAAUUAAGAUGGCCUCAAGGUGCUUUUGAGGACCCGAAACCCCACACGCCCGGGAGGGACCCCGUCAGGGCGCGUAUCGGCUAUGGGCUGCCCUAGGUCGACCUGAUCGCCCCUAGGGCCUCGAGGUUCACCACCCUGCAACAAGAAGAACAGACGAUGAACGAGGAAGAAGAAGAACUAGGGUUAAGGAGAAAAGAUAAAAGAUAAAAAGUGGUAGAUGAUUUUGUCGAUUGUGUGUUGUUCAAUCGGCCAUCACCCCUUAGGUAUAUAAGAGGCGGCUGGACUUCCCAUGCAAGUAAAAGGCUUAGAUUCACGCCCAAAACCCUAGUCAAAUUCGGAUUGGUUUUGUCCGAACUUUCCAAAACUGUUCAGUUUAAACUGGCUGCACCUUGUGGGUCUUUUUUGUGGCAGUAAACGGCCUCGGAUGAAAUGCGCCCAAAAGCAUAUUUACUCGCUUCGACGAGGCGAACAACUUUAAUGUUGAAUGUUUUUCUAUUCGAGGUAACCUUCAGGGCCAAAUCACUCGCGCAAAACGGACUGUCACUCGCACUACCCAUUAGACACCUUGUCUAAUGGGGCAAACCAGUUUUGCCUCGUGACAUAGUCAUAUUUAAAUGGCUCUAACUUUUGCAUACAAUCUCGGAUUGACACGAUUUUAUAUCAAAAUCAUCCUUUUCGACAAGACGCACAACUUUCAUGUUGAAACCUUUUCCAUUUGAGGCCAUCUUAAUUGGGUUUAGAUCCAUUCUUUAAUCUGGUGUCAACAUGAACAUCUUUAAACUUGUCAUAACUUUUGCAUCCGGGCUCCGUUUCAGACCAUUUUCAUAUCCAUCUUGAUCUUCUCGAAGAGAGCCAUCCCAUGGUGACUUCAAUAAUAAGUUUGAAUUAAUAUUGACAUAGCUUCAAGCUACUCUUUAUGAUCGUGCCACUUUUCAGCGUCAACAGAUAUACCCAUACCUAUUCAAAUCAUCUGUGAAGGUUAGAAAUAACGAUACGCGCCGCGUGCCUCAAUACUCAUCGGACUGCAUACAUCGGUAUGUAUUAUUUCCAUCGGCAUGGAGUUUCUUCAUGCGUUUUACAACAAUAUGACCUAAACAGUAGUGCCACAAAUAUGUUGCACUAUCAUUAUCAACUUUGCAUCUUUUGGCAUCAAUAUUAUGAAUAUGUGUAUCACUACGAUCUAGAUUCGACAAGAAUAGACCAUUCAUCAAGGGUGCAUGACCAUAAAAGAUAUUACUCAUAUAAAUAGAAUAACCAUUAUUCUUUGAUUUAAAUGAAUAACCGUUUCGCACUAAACAAGUUCCAGAUAUAAUGUUCAUGCUCAACUCUGGCACAAAUAAAAAUUAUUCAGGUCUAAAACUAAUCCCGAAGGUAGAUGUAGAGGUAGCGUGCAGACGACGAUCACAUCGACCUUGGAACCAUUCCCGACGCGCAUCGUCACCUCAUCCUUAGCCAAUCUUCGUUUAUUCCGCAGCUCCUGUUUCGAGUUACAAAUAUGAGCAACCGAACCAGUAUCAAAUACACAUGUACUACUAAGAGCAUUAGUAAGGUACACAUCAAUAACAUGUAUAUCAAAUAUACCUUUGUUCACUUUGCCAUCCUUCUUAUCCGCCAAGUAUUUGGGGUACUUCCGCUUCCAGUGACCAGUCCCUUUGCAGUAGAAGCACUCAGUUUCAGGCCUGGGUCCAGCUUUGGGCUUCUUCCCGGGAGUGGCAACUUGCUUGCCAUUCCUCUUGAAGUUCCCUUUCUUUCCCUUGCCCUUUUUCUUGAAACUAGUGGCCUUGUUAACCAUCAACACUUGAUGCUCCUUCUUGAUUUCUACCUCCGCGGCCUUAAGCAUUGCGAAGAGCUCAGGAACCGUUUUAUUCAUCCCUUGCAUAUUAUAGUUCAUCACGAAGCCUUUGUAGCUUGGUGGCAGUGAUUGAAGAACUCUGUCAAUAACACUAUGAACUGGAAGUUCAACUCCCAGCUGAGUCAAGUGGUUAUGAUACCCAGACAUUUUGAGUAUGUGUUCACUGACAGAACCAUUCUCCGCCAUCUUGCAGCUAUAGAACUUGUUGGAGACUUCAUAUCUCUCAACCCGGGCAUUUGCUUGAAACAUUUACUUCAACUCUUGGAACAUCUCAUAUGCUCCAUGAUGUUCAAAACGUCUUUGAAGUCCCGGUUCUAAGCUGUAAAGCAUGGCACACUUAACUAUUGAGUAGUCAUUAGAUCGAGCUUGCCAGACGUUCGUAACAUCAGCUUCAGCUCCUACAGCAGGCCUUUCACCUAGCGGUGCAUCAAGGACAUAAUUCUUCAGUGCAGCAACGAGGAUAAUCCUCAAGUUACGGACCCAGUCCGUGUAGUUGCUACCAUCAUCUUUCAACUUAGCUUUCUCUAGGAACGCAUUAAAAUUCAGGGGAACGGUAGCUCGGGCCAUUGAUCUACAACAUAGAUAUGCAAAACUAUAAGACUAAGUUCAAUUAAUCAAAUUACUAAUAAACUCCCACUUAAAUAAACAUCCCUCAAGUUAUCUAAGUGAUACAUGAUUCAAAUCAACUAACCCAUGUCCAAUCAUCGCGUGAGAUGGGGUAGUCAUCAAUGGUGAACGUCUCUAUGUUGAUCAUAUCUACUAUAUGACUCACGUUCGACCUUUCGGUCUCCAGUGUUCUGAGACCAUGUCUGUACAUGCUAGGCUCGUCAAGUUUAACCCAAGUAUUCUGCAUGUGCAAAACUGUCUUACACCCUUUGUAUGUGAACGUAGAGUCCAUCACACCCGAUCAUCAUGUGGUGCUUCGAAAUGACGAACUUUGGCAACAAUGCAUACUCGGGGAGAACACUUUUAUCUUGAAAUUUGCUGAAGGGAUCAUCUUAUAAUUCUACCGCUGUUCUAAGCAAAAUAAGAUGCAUAAAAGGUAAACAUCACAUGCAAUCAAAAUAUGUGACAUGAUAUGGCCAUCAUCAUCUUGUGCUUUUGAUCUCCAUCUCCAAAGCAUCGUCAUGAUCUCCAUCAUCACCGGCUCGACACCUUGAUAUCCAUCGUUGUGCCGGGGUCGUCUCGCCAACUACUGCUUCUACAACUAUUGCUAACGCAUAGCGAUAAAGUAAAGCAAUUACAUGGCGCUUGCACUUCAUACAAUAAAGAGACAACCCUAAGGCUCCUGCCGGUUGUCGAUAUUACAAAACAUGAUCAUCUCAUACAUCAACAUAUAUCACAUCAUAUCUUGACCAUAUCACAUCACAACUUGCCCUGCAAAAACAAGUUAGACGUCCUCUACUUUGUUGUUGCAAGUUUUACGUGGCUGCUACGGGCUUCUAGCAAGAACCGUUCUUAAUUACCUACGCAAAAACCACAACGGUGAUUCAUCAAGUUUGCUGUUUUAACCUUCCUCAAGGACCUGUCUAGUCAAAUUUGAUUCAACUAAAGUAGGAGAAACAGACACCCGCCAGCCACCUUUAUGCAAAACUAGUUGCAUGUCUAUCGGUGGAACCGGUCUCAUGUGCGUGGACAUGUAAGGUUGGUCCGGGCCGCUUCAUCCUGCAAUACCGCCAAAUCAAAAUAAGAAUUUGGUGGUAAGUAGUAUGACUAUCACCGCCCACAACUCUUUGUGUUCUACUCGUCCAUAUCAUGUACGCUAGACCUGGCUCGGAUGCCACUGUUGGGAAAUGUUGCAUGGAAAACAAAAAAAAUCUACGCACACGCAAGAUCUAUCCAUGGAGAUGCAUAGCAACGAGAGGGGAGAGUGUGUCUACGUACCCUCGUAGACCAUAAGCAGAAGCGUUUAACAAUGCAGUUGAUGUAGUCGAACUUCUUCGCGCUCCAACCGAUCAAGUACCGAAUGUACGACACCGCCGCAUUCAGCACAUGUUCAGCUCGGUGACGUCCUCUGCCUUCUUGAUCCAGCAAGAUGGCGAGGUAGUAGAUGAGUUCCGGCAGCACGACGGUGUGGUGACGGUGAUGGUGAAGCUAUCCUCAUAGGGCUUCGCCUAAGCACUACAAAAAUAUGACCGGGGGGGUGUAAACGGUGGAGGGGGCGCCACACACGGCUAAGAUAAUGUUUUGGUGUGCUAGGCGCCCCCUCCCACAUAUAUAUAGGUGGGGGGAGGAGGGAGCAGCCAGGAGGGCGCCCCAAGUAGGCCGAAUCCUACUCGGGGUCUCCUUCCAAGUGGCGCCCCCUGCCAUGUAUAGGUGCAGGGGAAAGGCAGGGAGGGAGGCGCCCCUCUUUUUCCUUUCUCCCAUCAGAAGGGGAAGGCAGGAGGGGCUAGCCCUCCCCCCUUUCCUUCCCUAGGGCUGGCCGGCCAGGGAGAGGGGCACACCAUCCCCCUGUGGGCUGGUCUGUCUCCUCCUUGGGCCAUUAAGCCCGUACACCUACCGAGGGGGGUGUCCGGAACCCCUUCCCGUGACCCGAUGACUACCCGGUGCAUCCCGAAACUCAUCCGGUCUCCGAAUACCAUCGUCCUAUAUAUAAAUCUUUACCUCUCGACCAUUUCGAGACUCCUCGUCAUGUCCGUGAUCUUAUCCGGGACUCCGAACAAAAUUCGGUCACCAAAUCAUAUAACUCAUAUAACACUAUAUCGUCAACGAACGUUAAGCGUGCGGACCCUACGGGUUCGAGAACUAUGUAGACAUGACCAAGACACUUCUCUGGUCAAUAACUAAUAGCGGAACCUGGAUGCCCAUAUUGGCUCCUACAUAUUCUACAAAGAUCUUUAUCGGUCGAACCGUUAUGACAACAUACGUAAUUCCCUUUGUCCAUCGGUAUGUUACUUGCCCGAGAUUCGAUCUUUGGUAUCUUCAUACCUAGUUCAAUCUCGUUACCGGCAAGUCUCUUUACUCGUUUCGUAAUACAUCAUAUCUUAACUAACUCCUUAGUCAUUUGCUUUCAAGCUUAUGAUGUGUAUUACCAAGAGGGCCCAGAGAUACCUCUCCGAUACUCGGAGUGACAAAUCCUAAUCUCGAUUUAUGCCAACUCAACAAACACCUUCGGAGAUACCUGUAGAGCAUCUUUAUGAUCACCCAGUUACGUCGUGAUGUUUGAUAGAACACAAGGUGUUCCUCCGGUAUCCGGGAGUUGCAUAAUCUCAUAGUCAGAGGAAUAUGUAUUUGACAUGAAGAAAGCAAUAGCAAUAAACUGAACGAUCAAUAUGCUAAGCUAAUGGAUGGGUCUUGUCCAUCACAUCAUUCUCCUAAUGAUGUGAUCCCGUUAUCAAAUGACAACACAUAUCUAUGGUUAGGAAACCUUAACCAUCUUUGAUCAACGAGCUAGUCUAGUAGAGGCUAAUUAGGGACACGGUAUUUGUUUAUGUAUUCACACAUGUAUUUAAGUUUCCGAUCAAUACGAUUCUAGCAUGAAUAAUAAACCUUUAUAAUGAAUAAGGAAAUAUAAAAUAAAAACUUUAUUAUUGCCUCUAGGGCAUAUUUCCUUCACUAACGGCCCGUGAUCAUGGUGGAAAUAGUUCAUCCCAACCUAACUUUCGGCCUGUUAAAGGCCUGUCGUAUAAUUCGGCCCGUUGAUGCGUCUACUAAGCUUUCAGCCUCUUAAAGGCCCAUGAUGUUAGUGGGCCAACCAAGGUUCAAGAUAUGUUUUGGCCUGGUAACAUCCCGUCAUAUAGAUUCAAUCUUCUCUGAAAUCUUAUGCGGAGACAGAUGGCUCUCCUUGUUGGGGAAUGCAGUAAUUUCAAAAAAAAUCCUACGAUCACGCAAGAUCUAUCUAGGAGAUGCAUAGCAACGAGAGGGGAGAGUGUGUCCAUGUACCCUCGUAGACCGAAAGCGGAAGCGUUUAGUAACGCGGUUGAUGUAGUCGAACUUCUUCACGAUCCAACCGAUCCAAGUACCGAACGUACGGCAGCUCCGCGUUCAGCACACGUUCAGCUCGAUGACGUCCCUCGUGCUAUUGAUCCAGUUGAGGAUGAGGGUGAGUUACAUCAUCACUACAGUGUGGCGACGGUGAUGAUGAUGUUACCAGCGCAGGGCUUCGCCUAAGCACUACAGGGAUAUGAUCGAGGUGUGUAACUGUGGAGGGGGGGCACCGCACAUGGCUAAAAGAUCAACUUGUGUGUUCUAGGGUGCCCCCUCCCCACGUAUAUAAAGGAGGGAGGAGGAAAGGGCCGGCUGGCCCCUAGGGCGCUCCCAAGAGGGGAGUCCUACCAGGACUCCUAGUCCUAGUAGGAUUCCACCAAAAUGGAGAGAGGGGGGAGGAAGGAGAGGGAGAGGGAAUAGGAAAGGGGGCGCCGCCCCCCUUCCCUUGUCCAAUUCGGACUGCUAAGGGGGGGGGGGCCUGCCCUGGCGGACCUCCUCUCUCUCCAAUAAGGCCCAUGGUGACCCAUUAGUUCCCCCAGGGGGUUCCGGUAACCCCUCCGACACUCCUUUUUACCCGAAACCAUCCGGAACACUUCCGGUGUCCGAAUAACAUGGUCCAAUAUAUCAAUCUUUAUGUCUCGACCAUUUCGAGACUCCUCGUCAUGUCCGUGAUCUCAUCCGGGACUCCGAACAAUCUUUGUUCAUCAAAACACAUAACUCAUAAUACAAAACGUCAUCGAACGUUAAGCGUGCGGACCCUACGGGUUCGAGAACUAUGUAGACAUGACCGAGACACAUCUCCGAUCAAUAACCAAUAGCGGAACCUGGAUGCUCAUAUUGGCUCCUACAUAUUCUACAAAGAUAUUUAUCGGUCAAACUGCAUAACAACAUACGUUGUUCCCUUUGUCAUCGGUAUGUUACUUGCCCGGGAUUCGAUCGUCGGUAUCAUCAUACCUAGUUCAAUCUCGUUACCGGCAAGUCUCUUUACUCGUUAUGUAAUACUUCAUCCCGCAACUAACUAAUUAGUCACAUUGCUUGCAAGGCUUAUAGUGAUGAGCAUUACAGAGAGGGCCCAGAGAUACCUCUCCGAAACACGGAGUGACAAAUCCUAAUCUCGAUCUAUGCCAACCCAACAAAUACUUUCGGAGACACCUGUAGAGCAUCUUUAUAAUCACCCAUUUACGUUGUGACGUUUGAUAGCACACAAAGUGUUCGCCCGGUAUUCGGGAGUUGCGUAAUCUCAUAGUCUGAGGAACAUGUAUAAGUCAUGAAGAAAGCAGUAGCAAUGAAACCGUAACGAUCAUAAUGCUAAGCUAACAAAUGGGUCUUGUCCAUCACAUCAUUCUCCUAAUGAUGUGAUCCCAUUCAUCAAAUGACAACACAUGUCUAUGGUUAGGAAACAUAACCAUAUUUGAUAAAUGAGCUAGUCAAGUAGAGGCAUACACUACAAAAAAAUACACUUCUGUGAUGAUACGUGUUUGUCACAGUAGGUCAUGUUUUCUGUCAUGCAUGUACAUCCAUGACAAAUUUAUGACAGAAUCAAGAUAGUCAUACCUGUGCUGUCGUAGAAGUGUUCCAUGACAUUACCAAAAUUAUCAUCAUGGAAGUGUCCACUUCCAUGACGACAAAUCGCGCGUCACAGAAGUGCUUUCGUCAAGGGUGACCGACACGUGGCAUCCACCGUAACGGAACGCCGUUAAGCUAUCGGGUCCGGUUUUGGAUCCGAUAACCCAUUAACAGCCCCGACCAAUGGGGAUUUCCCACAUGUAAAAUCAUCAUUGGCUGGAGGAAACACGUGUCAGCUCCGUGUUGGCACAGGUAUCACUCAUCCAAUGGGCGAGAUGCGCCUAUGAUAUGUUAACACGUGGACUGGCCCAAAAGUGGCCCAUAAAGUUUAAAUGGGCCGGCCCAACUAAAGGCCCACAAGAUUUUGCAGACCAUAAUGGGAUGGCCCAGCUAAAGGCCCACAAGAUUUUGCGGGCCAUAAUGGGCAGGCCCAGGUAAAGGCCCACAAGAUUUUUGCGGGCCAUAAUGGGCCGGCCCAGGUGAAGGCCCACAAGAUUUUUGUAGACCAUAAUGGGCCGGCCUAGCUAAAGGCCCACGAGAUUUCGCCGACAUUAAUGGGCCGGCCCAGCUGUAGGCCCACAAGAUUUUGAGGACCCUAGUAGGCCGGCCCAUUAACUGGCUGCCAUGUUUUGGGCCAAAUGCCGGCCCAUAUUUGAUUCGGUCCAUUAAUGGCCUGCCACGUUCCGGGCCUAAUAAUGGCCCAUAUGAGAUCCGGCCCGUUAAAAGCCUACCACGUUCUGGGCCAAAUUACGGCCCAGAUCAGGUCCGGCCCUUUAAGAGGCUUUGGGCUAAAUUAUGGCCCAUAUCAGAUUCGGCCCGCCAACUGGACGCUACGCUUUUGGGCCCAUUUGCUAAAGGCCCAUUUAGUAAUUCGGCCUGAUAUUAGUUUCGGCCUGUUAAGGGUCCGUUUAACAUUUCGGCCCUAUAUUAAUUUCGGCCUGUUAAAAGCCCGUCAUAUAGUUGGGCCUAACUACGACCUGGUUUGCAUCCGGCCUGCUCGCAGCCGAUAAUCUGAUUGGGCCAAACAAGGACCGAGACAAUUUUGGCCUAUUAUAAGCCCAUGAUUUGAUUGGCACAUUCAUGGGUCGGGGUCUAUUUCGGCCUGCUGCCGGCCCGUGAGCUGUUCGGCACGUUUCAGGCCCAACCUAGUUUUCAGCCUCCUAAAGGCCCAUUGAGUUUUCUUGGGAAAAUAGGGCCGGUGGUUUACUCGGCCUAUUAAAGGCCCGAAUCUACCGGUGGGCCAGUUUACAUUUAGGCCUGUUAACGGACCAAGAUGACGGGGCCCAUGAUGCGGAUCAUACAUGGUAAUUUUCUUGAGGCCCGAUUAUGUACCGUCAUUUUAUGGUUUGGCCGGUUUACUGCGAAGACAGGAUAUAUAUACAGUAAAAUAACCGCAGCAUCGUGAAUAAGAAAAAACCCUAGACUAUACAAUAAAGAAAUUACGGCAUAUUACAUCCACUGGGCAUCAAAGUUCACCUCUAUGAUAAUAAAGCACAAGCAGACAGCAGAUUACAUACAUUGGGCAUCAAAGAUCGCCACCAGUGCAACUAAACACGCUGACAAAAUAAUAUACAAAACCGACAUCACUUAAAUAGAGUUCAAGAAAGGUUAGCCCUGCUCGGGAGCUGCAGCGCAAGCAGCUGAGCAAGCUGGUGAGACUGCACUUGUUUGACACUUAUAUCCUCCUCACUCUGAAAGAUAAACAAGCAGAAAGAUGACAUGUUUUGCACAUAUAAGUAUCAGUGCUGACAAUUCAUCACAUUUCUUACCGACGAAUAAAGUGACACAGUUUAAAAUAGCAUUAACACAAUAUGGUAUUGUUCAGGUCAAGACAUGGCAGGAAAUGACAUUAUGAAGGAGUUGGUAGCUUCACGACACCACUAGAUUACAGAUCAAGAACUAAAUAAGAUCACUUGCUCUGUAUAGUUUAAUUUACAUGGUAUGAAGAAGGAUCUUGGUUGUACAACUAAAAACAUAAAUUGAGAAGGAAAAACUUUUGUUUAUGAACUGGAGUACAUAAUAAACUUUAAACAUGCAAUUUGAUGCAAACACCAAAAAUAAACAGGUGUUGCAGUCAUGCCUAACCAAAUAUACACAACAAAGUUUGAAGGCUUGAGAAGGACAAACUUACAUUAUUGGUGAAGGCAGGCUCUAUAAAGCCCUUGUCCAUGCUGAUGGGGGGGGGGCAAUUCAAGAUGUUUACCACAGAAUCUUCUUCAUAAGCAUUGCCUUUAUUCUACAUUUUGUUAAGAGUAAAUAUAGAUGUGACAAUAUAAGAAAAAAUGGAGAAUAUUUAAGAUAAGACGAAGAGUGAUGCUACAUAACCAAGUAGCUAUAAAUGUAAGUAUAGCGAUACAGGCAAAAGGUACAGCCAAGAGCAAUGCAGAGCUAAACUUCUUCAGUACCAUCGGUGUUAUCCAACAUUAUGGUAAGAGUAAAUAUAGAUCUUAUGUGUAGAAAAUGGAGGGCAAAGGAAAAUAAGCUGCAGAGUGAUGGUACAUGAACAACUACCUGUCAAUAUAAGUAAAGGACAGCAGGUACUUACAAGAACAAUGCAGAGCUAAAAAAAUUAAUUGGCAUUGGAUAUAUUCUACACUAAUGUAACCAUUCAUAUACAUCAGAUAAUUUGGAGCGAACAAUUGAUAAGCAAGCUAUCAUGCAUACUGCUGCCACAUAAUGAACUAGGUAUGUAUGCAAGUACAGUGAUACAGGACAACAGGUACUAACAAGAGCAAAGUAGCGGGCAGCAUAUUUGCGAUAUCCUGUCUUUCUUUUCAAACCAGAAUUCUUUUUCGAGCAGAUUUCGUGCAAAAAAGAUCCGUAAGGCACAUGCGGAAAAGUAGAAGUUCAAAUUUUCAUACGAUAUCAUAGACAGUACCUCAUCCUCAGAACGAGACCAGUGCAUAACAAGGUUUUUCCAUUCAAUGUCUUCUAAAUUUAGCACAGGAGACUUCACCAGAAAUUCAUUUAUAGACUUGCCAUCAAAGUGUGAUUUCCUCAGGUAACACCGAUACUGCUGCAAUGCUUCCUUGAAAAGCGCAAGCAAGCUUUGGUCGUCAUGACUAUCCAGAUUGACCCUUGCCUACUUACAACAAUGUAAUAUAAAUCAUUGAUGUGUUCAAUCAGCAGAAAACAGGAAAAUAAUCACCAUGAAUAAUAGCACUUACACGUAAGUGGGACAGGAAGAUGUGAAAAUGGUGUUUGUCUUCACUAUAAUCUUCCCAUGAUGGGAAUAUAUGCACGUAGUCCCUAACAACAUUGAAAGCAUUGUCUUUUAAACUGGGAAUAACUGGAAUGGGGUUCCAAUCUGCAGGAAUUGGCCGUCUCUGCAAUUGGGAUAGGUCUUCGGCCGGUGGACUUGCUGUACUUUUUGCUGGAGUGGGAUUUUUCUGUGGUACGGCUGGUGCUAUGGUAACUGAAAUCGGCAUACCUUUUGCUGGAGUGCAGGUCCUGUGUGGUGCGGCUAGUGGUGUGGCCAGUGAAGUAUGGGUACAGUCUGCUGGGGUCGGUCCUACGUUUUGUGUCACUGGUUGUACAACCAAUAUAAGUGGAGUGCUGUCUGAUUUCUCCGGCACAACCACGUUUUUCAAGGACUUUGCUGGUGCUCCUUCAGGUUCGGCAAUCACCCUCUUCCUUUUUGAUGUCUGAUGCACAAGAACAACAUUUGAGUGGAAAAACAUGGUAUGAUGACAGAUGGAAUAUGUAUUGAUAAUGGAUGGGCAUGGCAUCUCGACAUAUAUGAUGAGUAAACUAAGCAGAUGGCGGUGCAACAAAGUAGAAGAAAUGCAAGACAACAUAUGCAAGAUACACGCAAUCAAUAAAACCUUGCCAAAUUAGAACAUGCACCUUGAUGGGUGAACAGGAUAGGCCAUCUGCCUUUGACUCCUCGAGGUUAGAAUAGUCAUUAGGAUCAUAUUCUGAACAAGAAUCAACAGGUGGUGAGCGUAUGAGUUUCAUUGCAUCCAGAAUGGCACUCAAUGCCUUUGUGCCAAUUUUGUAAGUCAUUGCGGUGUUUAGCUUCAAGAGUGGACUGCUGCUAGUGCGACACAAAGCAGCUACACAGAUCAUAGUGUAGAUAUAACAGGAAAACCGUAAGCAUCAGAGUAAAAUCAGCAAAGUGGAACUUGCUGGAAUAUAUGUGCUAGUAUUGCCGGUACGGCUAGGAAGCCUUCGGAUAGCAGCUCUCUUCAACUGAAGGUGUGGUACUGUUAAUAUCAGUGUAACUCUCAAAGGCGACACAGCUCCCCGCAUUUCCUUGCUAUUCUUAUAGGAUUCAAGUGGGCAGGCCACUACAAAUCCUAUUCCCAUGUUUACAAAAUCCUACGAAUCAAAGAGGCCCGACGAGUUCAAAGUGUCCAUACCAACCGACCCUAUAGACCUCUACACUGCAAAUGUCCCUGCUCAUAUUCACUACAAGGAACAUAAUGUACUACUAUCAUACUCCCUCCAUUCCAAAAUAUAAGUCUUGGUAGAGAUUUCCACUAUGGAUCACAUACAGAUGUAUCCAGAUACAUUUUAGAGUGUAGAUUCACUCAUUUUGCUCCAUAUGUAGUCUAUGGUGGAAUCUAUACAAAGACUUGUAUUUAGGAACGGAGAGAGUACUUAUUAAAGAAGAACGAAAGAGGAACAUGCUAAAGAAGAGCAAGCAGAUUUUGGAUAAUAAAAUGUUCGUUGCGCAGUGCCCACACAUGAUGAACCAGAGCGCAUUAAGAAAGCAACUCUCUGCUGUCUCUCUAUAUGUGGUGCACGUGCUUUUUCGAAAGUAAAGUAGGAACAUUAGCUGACCAAUUAAAUGUUAUCCGUUUUAGUAAUAUCAGCAUCAUAUCAGGUUCGUACUUGAGGAACAAGUUUGGAAUUAUGAGUGGCACGUUGUUUUGCUUGAUGGAUUCAGGAGCAGUGCUAAGCAGGUACGAUGAUGGUACUGAAUAUAAAGGCAUGUCUGCAUUUGGGUCAGUCGACCAUUUCAGGCGGUUGGAUGAAGAUCUUACGUCUCCUAACCCUUCUUCUUCCUCGUCUCUGAUUCUUCCCAUACAGAACACCGCAUGGGUCGCCGGCCGGACCAUCGGCCCCCACCGCAUGUGUUCCUCCGCCACCCCCACCCCCCGCCCCCACCCGCGUCAAGUUUUCUUCGUUCGGCGAGGCCCCACCACCGCCCCCCAACAACCAAAGUCCCCACCCAAGCCCCUUCGUUCGCACCGACGAACUCCGGCGAGCUCUGAAAAAUCGACUGGCCCAAUUUUGUAAUUUAGUCUACUGUGAUUUAACAAGUGUGGAAUAUAAAAGGCGAAAACCAUAAGCAUUGGGAGUAUAGUGUUGAGCGUGCCAUGGCGGAUCUGAAGGUGCAAACCGGACAAAGGCAACAUCGCAACCAAUGUUUGCUCUCAACUAGCAAGUAAGUGAUGGACAAGAAAUCAGAGUAAAGCAGUGGCGAUCUAUUUUCUUGCUACGAUAAAUAAGUUGAGCAGAUACGAAAGAGUACCGCCUCUGGUGCGGCGCCGUGUAUGCAUCUGCUGAGAAUUUGACGGUGCUGUGGUAGCGAUGGCUGUCGGCGGCGUGGAAGCGGAUCUAGGAGGGUAGACGGUGGCGGCGGGGUGCGGUGGACGAGACGGUCGUAGGAGCAGCGCCGGCAAGGUGGACGACGGUGUGGAUGAAGCGAGAGGACGGGAUCCAAGGAUCCUGGUCUGAAGCCGUGGAUGAGAGAGGUCGAUCUCUUGUAAUGGACGGCGGCGUCGGGGUAUCAGCUCCGGCAUGGUGGAGGAGGAUGGCGGUGGAUGGGGUGGCGUACGGAGGAGGCUAGGGUGGAGAGGGUGUUUUGGGGCCCACAGAGUACGAAUGGGGAAAUGGAGGUGGAGAGGAAGGGGGGAACCAUGUCUUCAGGGCGCGCUUGUCACAAAUGCGAGGAAAUUUACAAACUUAGCCCCCGUUUCAAAUUUCCUACAUCACAGCAAUAUUAGUGGGUUGGGGAUAGGACGGUAAUCUCGCAUACACCGAAUAUUUGCCGACGAGAGUUUGUUUUUGGCGCCCACUGUGUAUGAAUCGGGGAGGGAGUCGAUCUCGGCCAAGGACACACUAUGUUUUGGCGCCCACCGUGUAUGAAUCCGGGUGAGAGACAGUUAUGUCACGUUCGAGUGAAAUUACAAACCUACCCCUAUCGAAACCUAUAGAAAUCGAGCAGAUAGGCUUUGCGUGGCAGGGAUAGGCAGUAGUAAUUUCCAUCUCGCAGAUUCUGGUUUCGGGCGGUUACUGCGACUUUCCCCGCUUCGUUCAAAUUUUGCAGAGUGCACGUUUACCGUGCCAACUCAAUUCGAAUCCCGUUUGUACUCUAUUUUUUUCGGGCGGGAUCCAUUUUUGAUUGGAAUAAAAUUCUAUAUACAUCAUUUUUAAUAUAUAUACUUUCAAAAGCACAACAAAGAAUUCUGCUCCUUUAUAUGUAUAAUAUGAUUUACAAAUACAAUGAUCUCAAAAUCAUAAGAUUGAAUUCAAAAAAUUAAACCAAAUUAUGUUCUACUAAAAUGUAUGGAUCAAUAAUAUCUACAUAUUAAAUAACAUAGAUGCGCGUGAAUUCAUAUGAGUAUGCAUGUUUGAUAGAUCAAUUUUGGUUCGAGUAUGGAUUAUAUGUAUCAUCAUCUCGAAUUCAAAUAUUUGAAUCCCUUUUAUGUUCACUCCUUUCAUGCCCAUCUCUCUCGCAUGCAUGCUCCUUCAUGUAGCUAUCACUCUCUUUUAUCCAGCUCACCCGCACGCUCACUUCAUGUUUCUCCUAUCCUCGCAAACAUGGUCUCUGAAUGUCUCCCUUGAGAAGUGUCACACUCUCCCUAUCAUUAUACAUUACACGGUUUUCAUUAUCUCUCAUGUCUCUACCGUUCUCUCGUAUCACUAGGUACCUAAGCUUUCUUUUUCACCGCCACACACACAGUCUCCACUCGUCUUUCACUUUGUCUUUCUCUCUAUGGGAUUCUCUCACACACCCUAUAUGUCUCUAGAUAUGAAUCAUACCACUAAAAUUACUCUCUCUCUCUCUCCUGUAGACACAACAUUUGUUGCGGUCUCCUUUUCGUGUCCAUCCCAGACUGACAUUAUUCAUUUGUUUACCGAUCAGACAAACCCCCCCUCUCACACACACACACAACUCCUGCUUCCACUCCAGCUUCGAAGCUGGAGUUUGCAACUUCAAAACUACAGGUUUUAGCCCUCCUGCUGGGUGGGCGCUUCCGAUGCUUGCCACCGCGUCACUAGGUUGUUCAUAGCUCUUGCUUAGCUUAAUGGAUCACCCAACUGUAUUCCGGGAUGUGUGCAUUCCACAAUCCCUUAAGGAAGUCAAAGAAGGACUCGAAACUUGCAGAUAAUGAAUAUAAAGAUGAAAGAUUGAAUGCACCCUGACUCGGAUUCCAAUAGGGCUUCUGCUUCUUCUGCUUGGCAAGGUCAAGUAUAUACACAGUCUAAAGCCACAAGAGAAGGUAUGAUAGGACAAGUGCCGGGAACUGCUAAACGACCUAAAAGAAAAAGAGGAGACUGACUCUGACCUUUCAAAGCCCUAUCUCAUCUGGUUGAUAGUACUAUAUCUAGAAAUCCCCGUCGAUUCCUCAUUGGCACCUUUUCGAACACAACUGAUGCAUUCCAAAAUAACUCUGAUUCUAACAUCUUUUCCCUUGGCCAUGAACCUCCUUUUCUUUUUGGAUUGGGAUAAAAACACCCAUCUUUCCGUACGAAAGACACGCAACUAGAGCAACUUGAUAUUACGUAUGUAGACUCUCUCUCACACAAAACUCUCGCUUUCGCACCCCCGUCUCGUAUUUCUCUCACAAACAUUUAUCGACUAGCCUCUAGAUAUGUUUAUACACCCGCACACUCGUGCUUCCACUAUCGCAUACAUGUAUCUCUCCCGCUCCUUGUAUCUAUGUAGAUUUUUCUUCCCUUCUUGAGACACGCCCUCUCGAUCGUGCACACACACUAUCGCCUCAUUUUAAGCUGAUACCUCUCGCACACACACUCUUUGUGUAUUUGUUACACAUGCACUCCGUCCUCCUCCUCUCUCCCUCUCUCUCACACACAUGGGCUUUUUGCAACAACUAGCAAGAUGCCCAUGCGUUGCACGGAACAUGAAGAUGCAUUUGUAUGAGUAGUUUAUCUUGUGGGAGAAAAGGAUGAACAAGGGAAGGCCUUAUUUGCAAGUGUGGAGAGGGGUGUGGGUAUCUUUUUGCAAAAUUGCCAUAGUUUCCUUCCUAUCCGUCGGAUAUAGAUCGGACGGCCUAUAUUGCAGGAUGGCAGGCACACGAUCAUCACCGAGUAUGCUUUUUAUAAGAGUAGGGAUAAAAAACAGAGUUGGUGAUGAUGGUGGGCCUGCCAUCCUGCAAUAUAGGCCGUCCGAUUUAUAUCUGACGGAUAGGAACGAAACUAUGGCAAUUUACCCGCACUCCUCUCCACAUUUGCAGAUAAAGCCUUCCCUCAUUCAUCCUUUUCUCCCACAAGAUCUUGCUGUUCCAUGCAACGCACGGGCAUCUUGCUAGUAAGAGUAGAAAUUAGACAUAUACCACUUCUCAAAUCUUGAAACCAACAACAUUCCUCCCUUAUCUCAUCAAAACCGCCAAAGGAAUAUAUUUUGAGUGAAACAUAACAUUUUUUUUAGUGAUAUACGUAUUUCAAAACUAGACUUUUUUCUAUCAAAUCGGUGAAUAUGUAUUAAUCUACUCAGAUCGUGUGGCAACGCAUUGGCACAUUGCUAGUAGUUAUUAUAAUUUUGUGGACACCAGACAAACGGUGGAGUACAUAUACGAAGAGAAGAGGCGCAUGUACGCAGUCGGUCUCUCGCUGUCUCGCACACAUGAGUGUUACGUAAAGGCAACGUUAACAAAUAAACCCUAAAACCCUAGGUGCACGUUUGCUGCAUUCGCGGGUACCGGGUACGUGGUGGAGCGCACCUUUGUAGGAAUAGUCAGCUCGCGUGAUAAUUUGAUCCGUAGGAGUUGAUGGUCGGGACCACAGGUGAACGACUUGGAGGCAGUGGCUCGCCAGUUGCCACAGAUCGAGUAGCCAUGUUUAAAAUAUCAUUUUUUAGCAGGGUUAAGAGUUCUGAUUUUCAAUGGCGCGUUAUAAGUACUAAGUAGUUUUUAGAACGAUUGGUAUGGAGCGAAAAUGGAAUUCAUAGUACUACCUACUACGUACCUCCUUGGCGUAUGGUUGUAUGGGUUUAUGUUGUGAGAUGUUGAACCUGGUAGUUCUAGGGCAAAUACUAUGUUUAGAUUUAGAUGUUGGUUUUCAGUAAUGAAAAUCGGAAGGGGGAAACCCUUCUUUGAUUAAAAAAACUACUACCUCCGUUCUGGUUUACUAGUCCCCAUCGUUUUUUGGGUCAAAGUUUGUCCAUGAAUUUUACUUGUAAAAUGUGAAUGGAAAACGAGAUUUUGUUAUACGCAAACAAAAAAGGACUGGAGGGAGUGAUUGCUCUGACACGGACGCGACCUCUCAUAGCGCAGGCAUUGAACCAGCGCGCCGGCCAAGAGGGCCCCAGUCGCUGCAGGCCCGGCUGAACACGCCUCCCGCAUGCAACCGGCUUCAGACUGCCCCGCCUGCCUUCAUUGAAUCCGCGCGUGUGCCGGCAACACGUCCUUCCGCGAGCCGACCGGCAUUUUAGAACACAAAAAGUGACCAAAAUAUAAUUAAUUAUGCAUGGUCUUGACUUGUUGUGCUCGGACUGGUAGCAGGAACUAGAGAUUUUCUUUAUUCAUAACUCUCCUCAAUUUUUUUGGCUUUGAAGUGAAUCAUGGUUGUGGACAUUAUGUAUGAAUGUGGAGAUAGUUGUGAACAUGAGUUUGAUGUGGAAGUUGAACUUGGAAUGUCGGGCUUGCGCGUGAACUAUACCAUGUCCAAUGCUUCGUCUGUUAUUGUUUGGAAAGUAAUUGCUGUUAUUACAUGACCCGAAAAAUAUAUUUUGUGCCACACAGUAGAUGCACGGACAUCACAACAGGCAUGCUGACUGGAUAAACAUUUGAACCUAGCUACUAUGAAGGAAAUUUUGUACUGACAACAGUUUUAGAUAGCAGGAGACGCCUAGCCUGCUCUGCCUCUGCUAGCUUAUUUCUGGCUUCUUCCAUCUCUUCUUUGGCAUGGGUGAAGAGAGCAUCUGAUUGUUCUUUUCGCUUCUUCAGGAACUCAGCUACAUUCUCAAGGGCUGCUGCACGCUUUCUUUCAGCCUUUACUAGAGCCACGAGGACACGAACAGCUGACGACACCACCUGGCUUGUGUGUAAUCCAGCAUCAUCUGGGAAUUUGCACCUUGUGUCUAAUCCAGCAUCAUUAGGGAACUGGCACCUUGUGUGUAAUCCAGCCUCAUUCUGGAAACAUGAUCUCGAGGUUGACCAUACUUCCCUCCUCGCAGGAACUGCAUUCUGACAUGAAGUUACUUCUUUUUUAGAUAAUUACUCAGAGCAACCCAGAUCCAUUUAGUAGAAGCCAGAUAAACAUAACUGGGAGAAGUGAAUUCAAAAGGAAAAAAAAUAUAAAAACAGACUACAAGGUGAGAACACCCACUUCCUACAUCAAGCUAAAAACGAAAGCAUUAGGAUGAUUAAGACUCUUCUUAUGACACAUCGAAGAACACGAGGCUUAAGAGAAACAGAAACUACAACAUAUACACAUCGAAGAACACGAGGCUAAAUGAAAGUAAUUGAAAGGGUGUUACUUACCAAAGCUCGUUUUACAGGUUCGGUGCAGCUCCUCUUUAACUUGCCACGCUCCUUGAAGAUGUCCCCAAUAUCCCGUGUUUGGUCUUCAUUGCUCCUCUGCAUGUUUGCACUCGUGGUUUUAAAAUCUCAACAUGGCAAGAAAAAUAUACUACUAGUAAUACUCGCGCAUCUUGUGGGCAACAUUAAAGCACUCGUCUUCCAUGUUAGAGCAUCUCCAACAGAAUCGCAACGCGCGACACUUUAAAAAAGCGUUUACAGUGCUGAGAUCAAGAAGUAGAGAUAGAGAGUAGAGGAUAGUUCUCAGCAUAGAUAGAUAAAAAAAUAGAUUAUUCAACUAGUCCUUGUCGUCCGACUCCUCCUCGGUGAUGUCCUCCUCCGACGUCUGACUGUAGGCGUGAAGAUACCGAUCAUCGUCGGAUUCCCAGGGCGACGCUGCUCCUAGCCUCAUGUUGAAUUGAGCGUCCGCUUUUCGCCUACGCUUGUCCUCGCGAUAGGCGGCUCGCUCCGCCCUCCUCUUAUCCCUCUCCGCCCUCCUUUGCUCGUAGAACUUGCGCUCGUUGAUGAUGUCCUGCGGGAAGCGUUGGCGGCACAACGCCAUGGCUUCCUCGUCCAUCUCGGCGAUGCCGAGACGGUGCUCCCUCCUCCGGUUGUCGCGACGAUCCUCGUCGGUGAUAAGCCGCGGCAGAGGCGCGAGCUCCUGUGCCCGCUCCCGCGUCGGCACGUUGGGGAAGUUCAAUGUUCUAUGAGGCCACCGGAGGCGCCACACCGCCGCGUCGUACACGCGGGCGGCCUCGUUGGCAGUGUCGAAAUUGCCGAGGCCGAGGCGCAACCCGCGGAACCGGAUCUCGGCGGAGAAGUCGCCAGAGGGGCGCGCGCGGACGCCGCGGUAUCCCCAAGUUUCCCGGCGACGCGGCGGCAUGGUGGCGCAGCGGCAGCGAGGCGAGAAAGAGCGGGGAGAGAGCGGUGGCGAGGCACAGAGCGGGGAGAGGGUGUUGGCAAGGCACAGAGCGGUGGGAGGGCGUUGGAUUUUAUAAAGCGCGCCGGACGCCGCGCGCCAAAACUAGCGCACGCCCGACCGCUUUUUCCCGCGCGCGUGGCUUUCCUGACGUCUCUGCUAUCUCUACUCUCUUCUCUACUGUUAUAUUUAUUUUAUAUUUAAUAUUUUUCUCUACUUCUCUACUCUCUAUUUUUUCUCUACUUUUUCCCUACUCUUAGAAAAAACAGAGUUGGUGAUGAUGGUGUUCCUGCCAUCCUGCAAUAUAGGCCAUCCGAUUUAUAUCCGACGGAUAGGAAGGAAACUGUGGCAAUUCUGCAAAAAGAUACCCACACCCCUCUCCGCAUUUGCAAAUAAGGCAUUCCCUCGUUCAUCCUUUUCUCCCACAAGAUAAACUACUCAUACAAAUGCAUCUUGAUAAGUGCAACACAUGGGCAUCUUGCUAGUUCUAAAAAACUAUCCAUCAUUUGCCACACUACUGGUUGCAGAUGAAAUACCUACCAAGCACAGCGUGAUACAGGAGCGACGCACAAUUACAAGCUGAUAUUCUGUUGGACAAUGGAGGCUAUAACCAAUUACUUUUACGGGAACAAUAGCACCUAGGAAAUUUGAAGGGUAGGUAUGAACAAAAUUGGAACUGCACAUGUACUUCUAAGUGAUUCAAUACACACAUUACCAAUCUAGGAGGAGAACGAUGGUCGCGGCGGCCUCUGUGAGUCAUGGGCGGCAACGGGAGUCAGUUCAUUGUCCACGACGGUGGUGCUUCUGCGCUUGGCGUCGGCUUCCGGGAAGCAGAUACGAGACCGUGGAAGACGGUGCCGGGGAAGAGGCUCCGUGUACGACGACGACGGUGGACUGGCUCCAGUGCGGCGUACGAGGUCGUCGAUGAGGCAGAUGCACUGCGGUGGAUGAGUGCACCGAUGUAGAAGGGCAGGAGCACAAAGGCUGCGGUGCCGUGGAGAAGUCUAUUUUGCGGUGGGGAUAGAAAAUGGGGAGUAUUCAAGUGUACUACUCUGGGUGCCGGGGUGGGGUUGGCUGGGUAGGGUGAACCUGAAGUUACGAAAACAACCCACUACCAACCGUCAUCCGUAGGCCUGUUCCGAAGGCUAUGAUGGUAACUUCCCACUGCUCGAAUCAGGGUCGCAGGAGAUUUUCCCACCGACCUCAAAAUUUUGUGACACUGAACUCCCCGUGUGGCGUGUUGGGUGAUUCGGCUAAGCAACUAGCGAGUAGUACUAGUAAACUCUGCAUAUUAGGUUUGACCGAAGUCAAACUUCCUAAAGUUUGACCAAGUUUAUAGAAAAAUAUAAACAUUUACCAUAACAGAUAUGUAUGAUGUGAAAGUACAUUCAAUAAUGAAUCUAAUGGUAUUUAUUUGUUAUUGUAUAUGUUAAUAUUUUUUGUUAUAAACUUUCUGAGAGUUUACAAAACUUGACUUUGACCAAUGCUAAUACGCAGACUUAAAUAAAAAUGGAGGGUGUACACAUUUGUUUUCUUAGUAUGUAGUGAAUUAAUCAUUUGUUGAAAUUGUGAAAUAAAUAUAUUAGGCUACUGACUUCGAAUGUAAUGGUCUAUACAAUUCAAUAGUUACAAUCAUUGUCGAAUUCCAAGAUGUAUACGAGGUCUAUAGUAUUUCACAACAUGCUCAAACUCGCAUAAUCCCAGUCAAAUGACAAUCAAAAUGCAUUUCAUAGUUAUUACUUUGUAGGAUGCAACAAAACCAACAAUAACUCUACAUCAGCCAUUAUAAAAGCAACAUUUUGAACAUAUCCCAAUGUGUGAAUGAAACGUGCAGAGAGAGCUUGCGAAGAUGGAGCAGAUAGGGCGGGAAAGAUUGUAUGUAUGUGGACGAGAGAGUAGGAGACAAACCUAACGAAACAAAAAGAGGGAGAUAGAGAGAUAAAGAGAGAGGAAGAAGUUAGGUGUGUGAGAAACAUGGAGACAUGUAAUAUACGUGAGAUGCGUGUGCAUCCAGAUUCUAUACACGUGGAAGGAGAAGAGGCAAUAGGUUUGAUGAGAGAGCUGGAAAAACAUGGACGAGAGGGGAAGGAUCUCAUGGGUUGAGGGAUUGAUAAAUUUGUGCGGGGGAGAGAGGGAUUGGUAAUUUUGUGCGAGAGAGAGGGUGGGGGAGGAGUCAGUCAGCCGUUGUCACAUCAUCCUGCUUCCAAAUGGCCCCGCAUUCUCUAGCGCAGUGUGGUCGCCGUCUUCGAUCUCCUCGAUGCCCUCUUUGAAGAUUGAGAUGUUGUGCAUGCUGGGGUGCGAAGAAGCACAAGCGAGAGUGGUCGCCAUAUAACCUUGGAUGGGGAUGAAUUGUGUGCUCGGGGGAGGGUGUGUUUGUGUGAUGUGUGCUGUCUGUGUGUGUGUGUGUCAGAUAUUGAGAGAAAACAAACCUAAGGAGAGAAAUGUGUGUGUAUGUGAUCGAAAGCUACUUGCUAAACAGGGUAUUCAUGAAGAGAUUGUGCGUGCGAGAUAGAGAGCGAUGUGCAGGCCUUGAGGUGGGCAGGGGUCGGGUGAGGGUGUCAAAAUGUGCGCGUUGAUGCAUGUGUUACAUGCGAUCGUGCGAGGGAUGGACGAAUCGAGAGAGAUGGUUGUUGUGCUACAGAUGCUCCUCUCUCUCUCUCACACACACACAAGUAAAAUAGAAGACCGUUCUCUCAUGUAUACACAACGUAUCGGGAUCUGUCUAUGUCUCACUCAUGCAUGAUCAUUUGCACAUUCACACCUCUCUAUGUCUCUAUCACACGCACACCGUCUCCACAUUGCCCUUUCGCCACAACACACAUAUGGACACAUACACACGUUCUCUCUCAGUCACACACACAGGGGUUGUUUGGUUUGAGACUAAGUUUGCCUAAGGUUGCCAUACCUAAGGUUAGGCAAGUUUGACCAACUUAGGUGGGUGUUUGGUUCAAGGCACACCUUAGGCAAGCCACAUUAGGGUCCCACAUUACAUACACUCAAAAAGUGUGGCAAGAUUCCCUUAGGCUUGCCAACUUGUGGCUCUCAUUUUGAAGAACUAACCUUAGGCAAGUGUGGCAACAUUGUCUCUAUGACAAGUGGGCCAUAGGGGCAAUAAAGUGUGGCAAGCCAAAGUGUGGCAAAAACCAAACACAUGCCAACUAAACUGUGGCUGCCAAAUUUUGGCUUGGCAAACGGUGGCUGGGAACCAAACAGCCCCAAAAUCAGUAUUAAAAAAACUAGGGCGCACCUAAAACGUCCAAAUCCAAAUAAACACGAACUGGAGCUAAAUUCAAAUAUAUGGAAAUAUUGUAGCGUCAAGAACUUUUCCCGGAAAAAAGUUGAGUAAUAUUCGGGGAUUGUUUUCACACACACAAAAAGGUUCGGUGGAUGUCCUUUGAGCGCGACACGGUGACACACCGUUCGAUCGACCACGCGGCCGCGGUUCACGCGCUUGCACAGGAUUCCGUAUCAUGGUUGUGGUAACUAAUAAAAGCGCUGCCUAAGUCUAAUGUUUACGUGUACUAGUACGGUUUUCUUUUAAGUUUGACCAACCCUAUAUAAAACUAAACUAAGCUCCCAUACGCGCACUCAUCAAUAAAAGCGCUGCCUAAGUCUAAUGUUUACAUGUACUAGUACGGUAUCCUUUUAUUUCGAAUCAAAAAUAUAUUCUGCCUCCUAUUCUUGGCCUUGGAGAUUUACAAAGGAACCACUUGUUUUCCUUUGAGUUUUGCCUCCAAACAAAUUCCCCUGGCUAGUCCUUAGGACCCUCAACCAAGAUCCAUGAAGAUCCACUGGUCUCCAGUUCAAAAUUUUCAAAAUAUACUUGUUGCAAGUUUGGGCCAUAUUUGGAAAAUUUGGUGAAAUUCAAUUGUUCUCUCCUCCUAAAAAUCUGAGAAAAUUCAGGCAGCCUCUGGAUGCAUCAAGAGGUCACCUCACCAAGUCCCAGCUCCAGAAAAAUUUCCCUCGUGCCCAAAUCUUUUCGUCGAACACCUGGAGGGCACUGUUACUGUCAAGUUCAAAAAGGUUCAGAGAUACAGGUUCAGUAGUCACUGUCGUUUUCUUCAGAACUCCGUAUCGAUCUCGCCAGUAGCCGCGGUGGCGCCUUGCUCCCUGUUUCCCCUUCUUAUCCACUGCGCCGCACGUUCACUUGGAAGGUUGCGGGCGUCGGUGGCCAGCUGGCCGAGGUGCAUCGCCCCGCGCGCGGCGGCAGCAGCACCCGCUACGGCUGCCAGAGAGGCGCAGCGUGGGACGGCGCCGUCCAGCACCGCCCAAGCCACCAGAGACCACCGCGUGGCCGUCCUCUCCUCUGUGCACACUGCAGGGCCGUCGUCGUGAACUGGGAGGCACGGAGCGCGCUCCCUGCCGCCGUCGUGCCCGUACGGCCGUUCCGUCGAGGGCCAGUGUAUUACACAAGUCCGACCAAGGUUUUGGCUGAGAAACGGCGCCAGUGAACCACCACGGUGAUGCCAAGCCACCUAAACCUCCUGCCCAACCUCUGCCUCGCCGUAAUUGCUCGCCGGCGUUAUCCCGUUCACAGUCACCUCCUCGGAUCGCCUAUAAAAGGAGGUCCCGAGCUCGAACUCGAACACGCACCACCCCUACACCCCACAAGUACCACGCCAAGCCACUGGGAGGACCUCAAGGGAGUCUUCUUCCCCAACUCCGGCCGCCUCGACCCGCUUCGGGAUCCGGCACGAUUCACUCCCGUGCGUGGACCCCUGCCUCUCAACUCAUGCCAGUAGCAUCCUAUUGCAUCCACCUCUCUGACCCGCGCACCAAUUUGGAGUUUGCAGCACCCACCGGAGAGUUCCACCUUCGCCCGAACCACCGUCCGCCGGAGAUAGGGUCGCCGUCGACGUGGUGCUCAUCGACGGCCAAGUCCACCACCCACCGACGCGGAAGGACACCCUGAACCCGUAGGUACCCUCCGAUCAACCUACCUCGCCGUGGAUCAACGCCGGCGACCACCGCAGCCUUCGGGCGCCGGCGAGCCCCGUUUGAACCUGACGGGUGGGACCCCCCCGUCAGCCUCUCUUUCUUUUCCUUCGAACCGUUUUCUGAAGGCGCCUUCGGGCAAAGUGUGUUUUCUCUCUGGGCUGGCGUAUUUCGUACCGAAGCGUUUUUUGCUUUUUCAAACAAGCCCCUGGAUACUUUCUGUUUCAUCACAGAUUAGUCCUUGGACUAAAACCCUUAUAUCUUUUUAACAGAAGAUGCUCUUUGAUUGAUUCUUUUUUUGUCAGUCUUAUAUUUUUGUCUAGUUUUUUAUAGUAUUUAUUUGGAAAAAUUUUGGAAUAAAUUUAUGCACGCAACGGUAUUCACGUUAGUAUCCGGUUUCUUUAUACCGUAGAUUCCGGAGGAGGUGACGGAGCCGCGAACUUCGCCGAGCUAGACUCCGACUUCUCCGAACCAGGCAAGCGUGUUUGAACCUUUGAUAUGAUGAGUGUUUUGCACAUUUGCUUAGUUAGUGCAUAGCAGGUUUAUGUAUGCAUUGGUGAGGGUCUCGUUGCAUGCAAGGCAACUACCCGUGUGCUUCGAAGUUUGAUGUGAUCUUUUGAUGGGAGAUGACCUGAUCAUGUGGUGACAUGAGAGGUGGUAAGAUGGUAUUGUUGUAGCAUGCCAGUCUUAUAUCAACCGUUAAACUCCGACGUUAACAUGGACUAAGCCACGUUACCGUUCAUUCCCUUUUCGUACUGCCACAUGUUUUCUGCAAAGGAUACAAUUUAGUAAGUUGCAAACCUCUUUCCUUGUACACACAAAAUAGAGGGGCCGGGAUGAGGGUUCCAUGGCCCUGGAUUAAAGCCAGUCAUCCGGUUAGGGGGCAUGGGUGUUUCCGGUUGGGACCGAGAGGGGGGCACCCCUUAGAGCGCGCGAUAUAAAUUUGAUCCCAUGCUACGCGAGGUUGUAGCCUCCCCGUCUCAAGGUUUUUCUUGAACGUUGCCUAGGGUGAUUCCUGGCAUCGGAAUGUGGAAUGGGUGUGUACUGGUUAGAUGUGUUUCUCCUAAAAUACCGUAAACGGAACUAGUCCCUUGUGACUACUGAAAUCCGUUGGCUGUGGUUAAGAGUGCAAACUCUGCAGAGUCAAAACCUUCCGAGUCAUCGUAUCCAUGGUCAAGGACCUAGGUCAAUGUAUCCAAACAGUAUCCAUGUCAUUCCUUGUGUCAGUCUCCGUGGAAAUCCCCAGUGAUCAAGCUUGAGUGGUAAACCCGGUUGAAUGUUAUUCCUGUGGAUGGACUAACCAUUUUAUCAUUUCGUACCUGAGUAUUUCAUUGAAAUGAUUUAAGCUCAUGAGCCACUGGAAUAUCAAGUCAUGAAAUAUAAGCCCUUUAUGUGAUGUCGCUCAGACGUCCGACUGUGGCACUCCUGUUAUUUACUUUUGAUAUAAGCCCUUUACGUGAUGUCGCUCAGACGUCCGACUGUGGCACUCUUGUUAUUUACUUUGAUAUAAGCCCUUUACGUGAUGUCGCUCAGACGUCCGACUGUGGCACGUACUGUCGUUUAUAUUCCAUUAUAAGCCCUUUAUGUGGUGUCACCCUGACGCCCGACUGCGGCAUUGUUAAAUUAUUUUUCUUUUUUACCCUUUCGAGGAGUCAUUUCAGACACUCGGUUGGCCUAAAGUAUUACGUUGGGAUUUCGGGAGGACUACCGCCCGACUUCCUUUUUAUUUUCCCUGCAUGGCUAUUUUAUUAUCUAAGUGCGCAUUACUAACCUGUUCAUGUGCAUCAUGCUUGCAUUUGUUAUAUCUUAUGUCCAUACUGUCUUGCGAGUACUUUCAUAGUACUCACCUGGCUUGUUGAUUUGGCCAGAUAUGGAUGAAGGCGAUCUCAUGGAUGAUGAGUUUGAUAGAGAGUCCGACGCCUAGCGGAGUCCCAGUCAGUCCCGUGCGAUCCUGGUUUUGGUCACUUGUAUUAUAUACGCUUCCGCCACCCACAAUAAAGUCCUCGAGCCUCACUCCGACGCUCGAUGGGCUGUAAGAUUUAGGAGUACUGUCACCCACUUCACUGUGACAUACCCACCACCACCUUUUAUUGCGAGUCAGUAGUUAUUCCACCAUACCCCCUUGUGUCAUAUCCGCCUUUAUGCAUAAUAUCGGCGUGCUUGUAAUAAAUUGUUGAGCAGCCUCCGCUCAACCUUGUAUUAUAUUUUAGUACUCCUGGAUGUUUCUAUAAUCAAGAAUUUGUUUACCAGUAAGAAGGAUUCUUCUCUACUGGUCCGUUUAAGGGAUCGGUUUCUCAAUAAAUGUUUUAUUGGAAAACCGGUCGUGACAUCGACUCUUGUGAGCCGUUUGAUGCAACAUGGAUGGCUAGAAGGGCUUCUUCAACCUCCAAAAUAGAUGCACGGUUCAUCUUCUCAGCCCGCCACACGCCUAACCGCCUGCCGCCGCCGCCGCGCCCUCCCCUGAACCGCCUGCCACCGCCAUGCUCCCCCCACCCCCGCCAUCAGUUUAACCGCGGGCACGAUCCAUUUUUUCCGGCGAAAUGCAUUCCACACCCAACACUCAUAAGAUAGAUCAUGGGCACCCUGCCGUCUUCUUCCUUCACUCCGUCGAACUUCUUUCACAAAUCGACUGACCCAAAUUAUACUAUUAGUACGAACGUAUUAACUAUAGUAGGAACACGAAGAUACGAGGAGUAGUACCAACUGCAAGAAGAACAGUAGUAAGACAUAGUACUACUACUACUGUACGUACUAAAGAGUUCAAAUAACGAGAAAGAACAUAAACAUAGUUCUGCUGGGGCCUCAGCACAACACACCCUUGAAAAUAAACUAAGCAACUAGUCCGCUUGACACUGCAGUAGAACCGGCAUGAGCGACGGCACUGCCACAUACUUGGAGUCCGAGUCCACGUCCUUGACUUCGUCCUCGUCCCUCUUCCUCUUCGCCGACGCUUCUUUGCUUGAACCGGACAUUGGGCUCUGCUUCUUCAUCCAACCCUUGUAGAUAUUUAAACAAAGGUAGGCAUCUAUUGCUGCGUACAUGAUGUGAUCUUCAUAUAAUGUCUUUGACUCCCAUGCAUGAUGAAACUCGUGAUGAAGUUUCUUCAGUUUAGCAUAUGAACGAUCAACAUUGCUGCUGCGAGGGUCAGCAUUGAAGGAUGAGAGGAGGACACCAGCCCUUCCUUCUGGAGGUCGAAGGAGUCGCCUACAACGAGGCCUAUCCGACCCAGGAUUUCCUUGUCGUUCCUAAAGUCUACAUUAACGAAUUUGACUCGGCCGCCCUUGAGGAACUUCUUAAAUUCCUCGCACUCAACGUCGGCAUGGCAUAUGUGGUAGACCAAGCAUAAGUCAUGCACGCAAACCUGGAUCACGGCGGGCUUCUUCUUCUCUGCCUCCUUUAGUUUCUUCUCGCUUCCCAGGACUGUGGUGUACUCAACAUCUAGCCCAGCGACCCACUCAUCAUUUGAGUUUUCGAACAUGCGUUUGAAGAGAGCAAGGCAUUCUUUCACCGUUGCGGAAGAACGGGUGUAGAUGACGUCGAACUCAUCGCCGGUGAUGGUUCUAACGUUGUACUCACCGCCGAUCAUGGAGAUUUGGGACGCCAUGGAUUUGGGAGGAGGGUUAGGAUUAGUGGAACUGCCGUAAUGUGAAAGGACGGGACGACUGGGAGCGAACUUUUGUAAGGUACUGUACUAGUAGAAGACGGGGACGAGUAGGGCGUGCGAACGGCGUGGGGUUGCUGGCUUGCCCGGUGGAUAAACGGCUGCAAGCCCCCAAAAAGUUCUCGAGAACUAUGCGGGACCCACUAGAUGUCAUGUCUACUAGACCCAUAUCGUAGGCCUGAUGGUAUAGCUUCUGCCUGUUCGCACGCCAUGCCGGCUUGUGUGUAACUUCAAUUAAUUCCGUCAACCAUCGCGCCUCCCACGACCUUCGCCUCCCUCGCGCGGUCGCGCCCUUUGAGACUUCGACUGGCUAUAAAUGAGCAAUUUUUUUGCCUACUCCGCAUGCAUGAUACUCCCUUUGGUCCUUUUUACUUCUGUCAACCGUUUAUACUAAAAAUAUCAAUAUCUACAAUACUGAUUAUAAUGAGUAUAAAGCACCUCUUGGGUGGGUUAGAAUUUUUUUGGGUUAGUUGAGUUCAAACUAACCCAAACUAACUCUAACACAUGGAUCCAAACAGGGCCAAGGUUAGCUAUUAGAGUACUACUACCUCCCUUCUAGUUUAAAGGGCUCGAUUCAAAAAUUUGACCUACUCUUAGAAAGAUAGAGGCGGUGGAAUAGUUUUUGUAGUUCUUCACAAAAAGAAAGUGUUUACUAAUGGAUGCAUGAACACUAGUUACUCUAACCCCCCUCUCUUCUUUAAUUCUUUGCCACAUCAGCAUGUUUGGUACCCCCGUGUGCAUGAUACCAGCUAAGAUACCACCAUUAUGGCCAGCCUUAAUCAUCGCAUGCAAUAAUUUAGUGCACCUUGAAAUAUGAACAUGUGUGGGGCGUGUAUGUUUUUAAUGACUUGAGACUAUACCUAGCCCGGCAAGCAAGAUGAGACUUAUUAUGCACCGUUCCCCAUACCUGCAGGAAGCCCAUUCGUCUCCAAAUCUUUUCCUCUCCAUGUGUGGAAACAAUAUGCCUGCCAGACUCUGCUUCUCCCUCCGGCGGUCCCACCGCUCCACCCUGUGUGGAAAAAAUCUGCAUGCAUGACUCUCCUCCCCCCGCACUCGUCCAAUCCGUUGUGACCAGCAUUAUUUCCACCCCUUCCCCAUAAUUUACUCCAAAAAAUAUGCCCACGUAGCUGUUACUUAACUGCAGGUGCAUUGGGUCACUGACAUAUGGGCCCAACAGGGUGUGGCCCACAUGUCAGUGACGCAACUGGACCUGCAGUUAAGUCAGUGCAGCUCAGUCCAUAUCUUACGUAGAUGUGCCAUUGCUCGCUAUAAAUACUGCGCCUCCCACGACAUCGCUAUCUCCUCCCCCUCACGUUCACAUUCAUCGCUAUCUCCUCCCCCUCCCUAGCUCCCUCUCACGUCGACCACCAUGGCAUCGCCCCUCCCAAGCCCUAGGCGCCCCUCGCUGCAUCGCGCGGACGGUCACGCGUCGUCGUUCCGUUCCUCGCCGCCACUAGUCGAGCAGGACGCGUCAGCGUUCUGCUCCUCGCCGCGACGAGACACGUCGCUGUUCCGUUCCUCGCCGCCACUAGUCGAGGAGGACGCGUCGGUGUUCCGCUCCUCGCCGCGACGCGUCGAGGUGGACGCGUCGGCGUUCCCAAUCUCGCCAGCACGCGCGUCGGAGGACGCGUCGGCUCCCCGCUACGAGGAGAACGCCGCGCCACCCGCCGAGCCCCCCAGCCUUGAGGAGCUUUGGAAAGAAAUGGAUGUCGCCUUGUGGGAGGCUUUGCCUCCAGCAGAGCGCGCCCAAAUAGAGGCGGAGAAGAUGGCCGAGGAAGAGAAGCACACCGCGGAACAAGCUGCCUGGGAGGCCUAUGUCGCGUCCGAGAGAGUCAGGCAAUUGGCUCUUUGGCAGAAGGCUCGUGCGAGGGCUGUGAGGGUGGUGGCGGACGCCCGUGCCGACGCCCUGAGUGCAGUCAGGCCCGAGCGCCUCAUCUACGCUUGGCGGUACGUGGACCGGGUGCACGCUUCCAGCGAGGAGGAGUACCUGUUGGCGCCGGAUCACCACACCGGUGAGAUCGCGCUCGCCCGCCGACAAGCCGCCAAUCAGCACCUCGCGAGUUGCGAGGCUGAGGAAGAGGCGUUGUGUCGGCGCGCUGGGAAACGGCCGCGCACCAGGGCACUUGUGGCGCCGCAAGCGCUCCUGCGAGCGCCGUGGCUUUUAGGAGGAGUAUAAUUUUUGUUUCGUAAGGUGAUCUCAUUAGUUUUGGGACGCAAAUGAUAAAUCCCGAACGUUCAGGAAUUAUUAGCGUCCUUAAUUAAGUAUGUAAAAGGGAAAGUUUGGAAACCUUGUGUAUUCGUACGCAUUUUGCAAGUACGUGCAUAUAGCACAAACUUUACUAUAUACUAUCGCACUACACGUCUCUCUCGAUAUAUGCUUGCAGACUGUGCUACUCCCUCCGUCCAGGUCAAUAAGUCAUCUUUGGUUGUGCACCGUAACCAAGAAGGAGGGAAGACUUAUACACCUAGACGGAGGGAGUACUACUAUUACCUAUGUACGUGCAAAUGCACGUUUUAACAUUACGAUGCGGUUUUUGUAAAAGUAGAAAAACAGCACUAGUCAAGCUUGUGAAACGAUUCAAUGCAAAACAAAUGCAAAAAUGCUCGUUUGAUUGUUUACUUUUAGCUUCCUUCUCUGUGGUUAUUUCUCUGUCGUACUUUGUACGGAGUAUCUCACUGGUUGGAAAGGCAUGCAAAUUCCCAAACCGCUUCCUACACCCUGUAUUGAAUUUUUUGCCUAACAAGUUGUGUCGUGCAAUUGGAAUUCCAACUUGAGUACUACUACUAGUAGGAGUACUAGGGGCCAGUUCUUUUAGGCUUCUAGAUUAGUAAUCCCAUAACUACUACCUUCAUCCUGGUUUAUUGGUCCCCAUUGUAAUCUGUGUCAAAUUUUGAUCAUAAAUUUAACUAAUGAAAUGUUAGUGCAUGUCACAUGCACUAACAUUUUAUCAGUUAAAUCUUUGGUCAAAAUUUAGCACAAAUUACAAUGGUGAGGAAUAAACCAGGACGGAGGUACUACUAGCAGUAGUUUAGAAGCCCAAAUAAAUGAGUGAGGCGCCUUAAUGUUACUCUCCACUGUGACUAGUCUUAUCGGAAAAGCUGGGGAAGCCGCCUAAAGAACUGGCCCUAGGAGUAGUAGCUAGGGAUCGAGUGUGCGAGAUGAACCGGAGAAAGCAAAUGCAGAGAGAUAAAAUGCAAAAAAGACGGAGGGAUGUGAUGGUUGCUUGUCCGUUUAUUUUACCAGGCCACUUAUUACUGGGAGUGGUUGGGUUUUUGUGAUAUGACGGCUUUACUGCCGCACCACGAGCGGGGUGAGACUCCCGUGCAGCGCCGCCCUCUACACUAGUACUACUACAUCGGUCGUGGUUUAUCCCCCAUUGAAUUUGACUGAAGAUUUAACUGACAAAAUGUUAGUGCAUGUCAACAAAAACAAUAUCGUUGGAUUCGUAUUUGAACAUAGUUUUCAAUGAUAUAAUUUUAGGUGACAUGCAUCAUCAUUUAUCGUACUAUAUAUAAUUUUAGUUAAAUUUUUGGUCGUACUAAUCUAUAGUAAGGUGCCCGUGCGUUGCACGGAAGAGUGAAAUGCAUUGAUUGGGGAGUUGUUUAUUUCUUAUAGUCAACAGUUGGCUAUACUAUUUAAGUAUUAACCAUGCCCUUAUACACCUAGACGGAGGGAUUAAAUCAGGAUGACUUGGAAGGGGGUAGAGGAUAUGUAAGAAAUGGUUCAUCAUAAGUAUUUCACCAGUACUGUAGUAAAAAAUCAUACAUGGAAGAUUCUAGAUUAAACCAUAAAUGGAUAUACUUUUAUUCAUGCGUGAUACUCCAAUAGAGCAAGAUCAUGCAUGGAAGUCUCCACAUGCUUAGACAGCGGAUUACAUUGAGCGAAGACUAAUGAUCAACAUUUAACUUGAUAAUGCAGAUGUCCAGGUGAACCUCCUUGGAGUCCCCGUGCACAUUGUUGGGGGUCAAAUAAUACCGUGCGUCUUCCAUGUCCACAUCGGCGGGAAAGUCCCAGCUCAGCAGAGUCCAAGUCAGCUUGGCGUAGCCAUUGUCACCGCCCACGUACCUCCGAGGGGUAGUAAUAGUGAGCAUGCACCCAUACAUCGGCCUCGUGUCAGUGUCAGCGUCAGCGGCGUCGCCCCUGACGCACACUACAGAGAUGUGGCGGCGGCCUGCGCGGGCCUCGCUGGUGGCCACGAUCAAGAGGAAGACGCUACCGUCCAACUCCGAGACUAGCAGGCGGCGCUGAUCCUCCAGCGACUCCGGCACGGUGAACGGGUAGCACGUCUCGUACUUGAUGUUCUUCGCCAAGGGCCAGUAGUGAUUGCCGCACGCCUGCGUCAGGUGAUGCACGAUGUCCGCCGGCGAGCCCCAAAACGGCACCGGACACUCAUAGCAGUAGACGAAGGGCUCCUUGGAGGCAUCGACCAGGCCGUCCAUGAAACGGGAGUGGCUGUAGGGGACGUUCCGCCAGUUGAAUAUAUGAGCAAGUUACUACGAGAUUUAGUCCGAAUAAGCACAAAAUAAAUCAUGAUGGCUAUAACAGAGAUUAAACUAAUCAUGCGGACUAGCAUAGUAGAUGAACAGAUCGAAUCUAGGACACAGACUAGAAACAUGAAUUCUACCACAAUUUCGAAUAGGAAGGACAGAACACAUACGGUGCAACGGGAGCAGCACCAUUGGCGUUGAGGUUGUCGCCCAUGUCGCUGAGGAAGAGGUUGCCGAGGUCGGGGAAGAAGUCGUCGUCGGUGAAGUCGUCGCUGCUAGCAGUCGCGAGAGUGCGCUCCCCAAAUUUCAACAGCGCCCGCCGAAUGGAGCGCGGGAGGGAGUGGCUAUAGGGGACGUUGCGGUCACCGAAUGGAGCGCGGGAGUAGCCCACGAAGCAGUAGAUGGUGCUCCUCCCUAGUCUCUAUUCUUAUCUCUAUCUAUACUACUCUUCUUUGUUUUUUAUAAUAUACUAGUUGUAGUUGUCAAAUCGAAUAGUACUGCGCCGUCCACUUACCGCCCGGCUGAACACACCUCCUCGCCUCCAUCAAACCCCUCCGUUAAACCCGCAUGCAAACCGAGAAACCUACUCCGGCCCGCGGGAGGAAAUUUGCCGGUUGCCGUUGGAGAAUAAUAGAGUCACGUCCAAUCCAUUUGAGUUAAUUGCGUGUAUGAUUCUCCCUCUAUAAAAAGUUAAUUGCAUCCUUAAUCUUGUAUUCUAAGUACUCUGUGGGACUGUCAGUACAGUGUACAUGACUUGCAGGCUGGCUACAGAUUCGUACAGAAAGUUAAAAAGAAACAAAUCCAUGACUUGCAGGAUUGGAGUUAGCACCGAUGGCGGUUCGUAGUCGUUCCACGCUCGGGCAUUGAAGUUUGUAACUAUCUACUACUCUUAUAAAAAACCGAGUUGGUGAUGAUGGUGUGCCUGCCAUCUUGUUAUAUAGACCGUCCGAUCUAUAUCUGACGGAUAGAAAGCAAACGACGACAAUUUUACAAAAGAUACCCGCACCUCUCUCCACAUUUAUAGAUAAGGCCUUGCCUCGUUCAUCCUUAUCUCCCACAAGAUAAACUACUCAUACAAAUGCAUCUUGAUGUUCCGUGCAACGCAUGGGCAUUUUGCUAGUUUUAGAUUGGAACAUACUACUCCUCCGGUGCUAGUAGUAGAGCAGAGUCCUACUCCACUACUACUCUACUCAAGCAAGUUAGGGCAUAUUCGCUUCUCCAUCUUUGUCCGCUCUUCCAUCCCCGCUAAGGCGCCUCCCCCCUCGUCCAAUCUUCCAUCCCCGCUAAGGCGCGUCCCCCCCUCAUCCGAAACCCAAGCACUAACAAUGGCAAAACCGAGCAGCGUCCGCCGAAAGAGUGGCUGGAAUUCGCUCCCCAUAGAGAUAAUAAAGCUCAUUGUUUCGUGUGUGGACAAUCUCAGUACCAUGCCGCUCGCCGCGUGCUCGUCGGGGCUGUACCGUUUACUCAAAGCCCUCAGGCCGAAGCUUUUUAAGCCAGCUCGUUGCUUGCUGAUGCUGCCUGAUCUUCAGAAACGAUGUGUCACGCAGCAUAACAAUCAUAGGGUGGCGAGCAUCAACCCCCUUGACUGCGAUCCGAUCCCCGUCACCCUCAACUACAUUAACGGUAUGUACUGGGUCGGCAUGAACACGUCUUGGAUGGUGCUCGUCGACGGUCACGGCAGCUGGAUGCUCGUGGAGGUCUACACCCAGCGAUUGAUCCCCCUUCCUUCGAUUAACACUGCACUGCUUUGGCACCGUGGCCCAGAAUACUCGGAAUCUUACAGUAGCCAACAUGAUACCAAGUUUGAUUUGCUCAAGGUUGUAAUCUGCCAAGUGCCCACAAGAUCUGCGAAUUAUAAAGACUUCAGGCUAAUUGCGUUCUUCAACCGUGGUCUCGCCUAUCUGACAGGUCACCGCGGUAAGUGGAUAAAUCUGCACGUCCAUCACAGGAUCAUACAUCCUCCAUGGUUCUCUGAUUCCAUUGAACACAAGGGCUUCAUUUACGCUGUCGACUCCUUCUAUGGCUGGACGUAUUGCUGGCCUACUCCAGUCAUCGCUACAAACGGCUGUUACAGAAGUAUGUUACUUUCCUAUAAUAUCAUGAUGGCUUGCUUAUAUUACUGUCAACAUUUACUGAAAAAUAUUCAUGCUCAUAACAUGCUGUUCUUAAGAUUGACUACAUCAAGAGCCCUUUUUUAUUUGACUCCAACUUUUUUUAGGGUUAUUUGACUCCAACUUGAUGUGAUGUUGUAGGCCGUCUGGUGUCCCUACCCUUCCUAAUCCCAGAACCUUUCAAAGAAAAGCGGCAUGGCAGUUGCAGGUGGUUCCUGGCUCGAUCAGACAACAACGAAUGAUUGAUGAUCGUUCGCACGUAUCGGACGUGUUGUUUCGCGGAAUACAAUCACAGUCACUGCAAGGUCUUUGAGCAGGAUCCCAGCUUCUCUGGGCCUUCAGGAAUUUUAGACUGGAGGUUGGUAAGUAGCCUUGGUACACGCUCUCUGUUUGUCGGACGGAAUUAUCCGAUUAACCAGGAGAUAACCGACGGCAAGGAUGAUGAUGGCAGCGCGGUUUCGUUCAUCAGGCAAAACUGUGUGUACACAGCGUACCAUGCGUCUCUGCAUGCACCAUAACCUGAUAUGUGCCGCCAUGCUCUGCAACCCAAAGUAGGAGAGAGGGUCGCAAGUAUCAGACUUCGACCUGCUGGCUGGAGUUUCCCCCGUCAGGCACCCAUCUGGUUCAAGUCGUCAGCCAAUCUCCACAGCUUAAUAAAUAGUAACGUCUAACUGAGCCAGUUAGUUAGAUGCGUACACUUGGUGUAGUAGGAUCUUUAUUUAGUUUGAUGCAUACACUUGUUCUUUUUUGGUAGCCCUUUUGUAAUGAUGGCUGAUGUUUGGUUUGGAAGAGAGAGUUGCGUCUUCACUCUUCUAGCCUGCUUACUGCUUCUGUUGCACCCCCAGCCCUACUUGCUGCUGCUGCUGUUUUCAAUGUACAAUCAAUAGUAUAUUUCGUCUGUUGGUUGAAUAAAUGUGUUGUUAGAACGACAAACACAAUGUUUUGGAAGUCGUUGCACAGUUCGAUCCUUUAGUGCCCCGUACCGUACGUAGCGCAUACUAUUUUUCGUACGGAACACAUUUUCCACUUGUUGAUAACAUGCAGCCCACUGAUGAAGGCCCAAUAGAGAAGCCCAUAAUUAACUGGAAGGGAGGCUCUCACAUGAAUCCGGCCGAGGUACAUGCUCAUGGUCCCCUAAACAUAAAUAAGUAAAUAAAUAAAUAAAGCUAAAUGCUCAUGCACCAGUUAUUUAAAUUCAUGAUUUAACAGGAGGAUAUUAUUUCCUAUGAUAGUGUCGUUACAUUCAGUCGAUAUUAUUCUUCGGCAAAGAUAGCGACCAGUCUUCUUUCUCCCAACAUUUUCUUCCUGCAACUAGCGGACCCAUGCAAAUCGUAGUCAACGUCGUAAAUAGAUCCGGUCCAUUUUUAUUUUUCAAUAAGAAUGUCCAACCCAGCCCAGCACAUUGGCGACAACACUUUAUCCUCCGCCUUGGUGCGCUCGCCGCGGCGCCGCCGUCCGGCCCUGUCAACAUUUUUUUUCUUUUCAAAACGGUCCCUGUCAACAUAGUGAAUCGGGAGAGGACUGUAGUUGUGAGUAUGAUAGUACAGACCCACCAGGUCCACUCCCGAACACAAGCAAGCGCCUCUUUUACUACUCAGAUGAACCCCUCUUUUUUUUACUCUAAUCCACCUGCUGAAAUCUGGGACUCACAUCAUUUUCAACGUAUAGUCAAUUAACGACAGAAUUGCACAACUUUUUUUAGUAGUAAUUCGGAGGAGCAGGCUAUAAACUGGGUUGUGCGGUCUCUGUGGCCCGUCUAACAACAUGACCAGCCCAGCAGUUUUUUCUUUGGGAAAAUAGGAAGCCCAGUAUUUCUUUUUGAAGAAUACCCAAGCUAGGCCUAUUUGUUUUCUCCGACUUACUGGGCUGCAAAUCUUUCAAGAUGAGGAGGGAUGCAUUCCAGCCUGGCCAAAGAGUAUGGUCAGUGUCUAUUAAAAGUAAUAUCAAAAGGGGUUGAAAAUUCCAAAUAAAUUAUAGCAAAUGGGAUAUUAGUUUCUUUUUUUGUUUUUGUUCUUCACUGAUAUCUUAUACAUAUUUCAUUGGAUUUAACAUGACAUAGUACUAAUUUAUUUUUAAAUUUGUUUAGUAUGGCAACUAAUUUUUGGAUUAAGAAUAUUUUGUUCCCCAGCAAAAAUUUGCGAAUUUUCAAAAUUUCUCACAUAUUUGUUAAUUUUUAACCCUGGUACUGACCAGAAAAUGGGCAGCGAUUCUAAAAAUGGAAAACGGGCUGCAAUAAAUUCCAUAUGAAUUAGAAAAUGAGUAAAAAUUAUAAAAAUAAUAGCAAAUGGGCUAUACACGCCACAGAUUUUGAGGCUGACUUGUUUACGCAAGGCUUUGUCAGUCAACACACGAUUCUAGCAGCAGUGACUGUUGGAUGUCCAUCCAACGGUCGACGUGCUUCUUCAAUAUCUGAUCUUCCUGCUCCAGCCGCCUAAACUAGCGCCGGCGGGACUGCCUGCUCCCUCCUCUUGUGGCCCGCUGUGAUGCUGCGCAGGCUUCCCCGGCAUACCCUACUCCCUCCGUUGGCCUGGCCGCACGCAAUCAACUGCCUCCUUAUUACAAGAAAAAAAUGAUUCCUCCCACUGACAUCUGGGGCGCACCGGUUGGGAGGCUGGCCUGUGGGCCUACUAAGUUGACGCGUACGCAGGGCUUGUCAACUUAGUCAACAAACGAUUCUAGCAACAGUAACCGUUGGAUUUGAAUCGAACGGUCCUGCUGCUUCUUCAAUCGCUGCUCUUCUUGCACCAGCCGCCCAAACAAGCGCCGGCGAGACCGCCUGCUCCUGCCUCCAGUGACCGGCUGUGCUGCCGUUGAGGCCUCAUCGCCCCCUACUACUCCCACUGCUAUCCAGGCCCUGCGGCGACGGCAGCCUCACACCGCAGCCGAACUAGUGAACCCUCGUACUCCUCUCCGCGUGGGCAUCCACUGUCGCGUCGUCCCCUUCCUAGGCCUCGCCGUCGUCCACCGCCUUGGUGCUCUCGGCGCGGCGUGGUCAAUGUGGUCAACGGCAGACUUCCAUCGGAAGAGUACUCUACGUGGAGAGGCUGACAGCUGGGUCCACGGCCACAGCCCAGUUUUUUGUGAUAUGCCAAGUAAAUCACUUUGUCAGGCCUGUUGGGCUGCAAAUCUUUCAAGACGAGGAGAGCUUUCAUUUGGCUGGCCGAGAAAAUGGCCUAUCAGUAAUGAGAAAUGGGAUGUACAUUUUUAAAACACGUUAAACCGGCAAUUAGUUUCAAAUUUCUUUUUUUCAUUUUGAGAUUUUAAAUUACAUUAAUUUUUAUGCGUGGACAAUUUGUUGGAUUUUAUAUUGAUAUACAUUUUUUUUCUAAAAUCAGUUUGAAUGUGACUCGAAAUUCCGGGAUUAAAAACAGUUCGGACCGCACCUAAAUAUGCAAAAUUUCGUAUAAUUUUUUAACCGUGGCCACAAUAUGGGCUGUAAUGCUAACAAAAAGAAUAUAGGCUCCAAAUUUUUUUUAAGAAUUAGCAAAUGGGCUGUAAAUAAUUACAAAUAAUGGCAGAUGGGUUUUAUGCUGUUUUCCACAGAUUUGAGGCUUUCCUAAAAAAAGGUUGACGCACAAGCAGUGACUGUUGGAUGUCCAUCCAACGGCCGUCGUGCUUCUUCAAUCUCUGCUCUUCCUGCUCCAGCCUCUCAAACAAGCGCCGGUGGGACUGCCUGUUCCCUCCUCCCCGCGGCCGGCUGUGCUGCCGCGUAGGCCUCACCGCCCCACCGUACCCCCAUCGCUAGCCUACCCAUCCCUCUACUCACCCACACCUGUUGUUAUUCUCCGGCGAUGGCAGAUGAACCAGUAAACCCUCGUACAGUCGUACUCCCCUUCGCGUGGGUACAACUGCCGAGUCUUCCCUGCCUCCGUGUCUUUCCCUUCCUAGGCCUCGCCGUCGUCCACCGCCCUGGUGCUCUCGGCGUGGCCUGGUCAACAUGGUCAACGACCGACAUGCAUCUGAAGUGGACUGUACGUGGAGAGGCUGACAGCUGGGUCCACGGCCGCACGCAAGGAAAUGCCUCCUUAUUACGCGCAAAAUAAUGAUUCCUCCACCUGACAUCAGGGACCCACCGAAAGGGCCUCUGUACUUCGCGAAAAAAACUUUACCGCCGCUGACAGCUCGGACCCACCAGCUAUAUCUUCGCACGCAAGAAAGUGCCUCCUUAUUACGCACAAAAAAUGAAUACUCCCCCUAUUAGCUGGGACCCAGUAUAGUGGCAGGCUGACUUGUGGGCCUACUAAGUUGACGGGGACGGAGGGCUUUGUCAACUUAGUCAAUAUGCACGAUUCUUGCUCCAGUGACCAUACGAUGUCCAUCCAAUGGCCGUAGUGCUUCUUCAACCUUUGGUCUUCUUGCUCCAGCCGCCCAAACCAGCGCCGGGCGUGCCUCGUGCUCCUGCCUCCCGUGGCCGGCUGCGAUGCGGCGGAGUCCUCACCACCCCCUACUACUCCCACCGCUGGCUAGGCCAUCCCUCUACUCACCCACACCCCCUGUUAUUCUGCGGAGACAGCAGCCUCACACCGCAGCGAACCAGUGAACCCUCGUACUCCUCUACACGUGGGCAUCCACUGCCGCGUCUUCCCCGGCUCCGCGUCGUCCCCUUCCUAGGCCUCGCCGUCGUCCAUCGCCCUGGUGCUCUCGGCGCGGCGUGAUCAACGUCGUCAAGGAAUGGCUUCCAUCAGACGUGGACUGUACGUGGAGAGGCUGACAGCUGGGUCCACGGCCGCAGUAAGGAAGUGCCUCCUUAUUACGCGCAAAAUAAUUAUUCCUCCACCCGACAGCGGGGACCCACCGGACGGGCCACCGUAUUUCACAAAAAAUACGUUUCCCCCUGACUGCUGGGACCCACCAGCUACAUCUUCGCACGCAAGGAAGUGUGUCCGGGUAAAAAAAACGAUUCACCCGCCUGACUGCUGGGACCCACCAGCUACAUCUUCGCAGGCAAGGAAGUGCCUGACAGUCGGGACCCACCUGGUCGAAGCGUACGUAGCGUUGUCAUUCUGGUCGCGAACGUGUACGUACAUACUGGUCGAUGAAGAGGCGCGCACGUGUCGUAGUAGAGGCGCGCACUAGCAUGUACACGUACGUACAGCGGCCAGUGUGCAAGAAAGAAAAUACAGCCACGAACGUACAUAUGGGCAGGGUCUCGAACGCCUACUCGCGCAUACGUACGGCCAGGGCUCGUGUACAUGACUGGGUCGGAACGGAGAAACAGCAUCGUCGUUGUGUUCAUGGGGAGCCAACCAGCUGGGUCGGAACGGAAUGCGUCGUCGUGUUCAUCGGGAGGGCUUGGACGGAACAACCGAUGGAAACGAGGCCCGGCGCACCGCGGAACGGAGGAAACGGCCUUGUAUUCGACCAGCCACAUUCGAAACGGGAUCCUGUUCAUCGGGAGGGGUCUGGCGUACCGCAAAACGGAGGAAACAGACCUCCUACGGUCGAAACGGGGGUCCUGUUGAUCGGGAGGGGUGUGGCGUACCGCAAAACGGAGGAAACAGACUUGUGUUGGAGCGCUACGGUCGAAACGGGGGUCCUGUUCAUCGGGAGGGGUGUGGCGUACCGCAAAACGGGACUCCACAGGAUACUAUUCAUCUCCACUGUCGACCCCCUCCAGCCUCCACGGGCUACUUUUCAUCCACCGUCGACCUCCUCCAGCCUCCACCUGCGACUGUUCAUCCACGGGCUCCUGUUCAUCUAGCCUCCACCGCGCGCUACUCCACCGGCUACUGUUCAACCAGCCCUCUCCACGGGCUCCUGUUCAACCACCCCUCCACGGGCUACUGUUCAUCCAGCCCACCACCGUCUACUGUUGGUCCUGCCCUCCACGGGGUCCUGUUCAUCCAGCCCCAACCGGAUUGAUCGAUCGGGGUCCUGUUCAUCGAGAGGCAACACCACGGGGUCCUGUUCAUCCACCCCCACUAGGAACUGUUCAUCCACCCCCCCAGCAACGCUCACUGUUCAUCCAGAGGCAGCAUCGAUCGGCUUCAGUUAGCAGCAGUAGCGAAGGAAUCGCUCGAUCGGGUUCAGUUAACAGCCAUCGAUCAAUCGCUCGGGUUCAGUAACGCGUAGCCUGCAGUGCAAUCGCUCGGGUUCAGUUAGAGCCCAACGCCUCACUCGGGUUCAGUUAGAGCCCAAUGCCUCGCACCCACGCGCGUGCGUGUACGAGAGAAACGCGCAUCGCUCGGGCCCGACCACCCACCGUAACCGGGAACACCCUGAUAUUUUCCUCGCCUUCGCUUCUACCACGGUUUUUUCCGUCAUGGACGGCCCAAAGAAUGUCAUGCAGCUGCGUCUCCGGCCCGCCCAGGACGAAAAGCCGAUUUUCUGUCAUGAUUUUUUGUCAUAGAAGUAGGACCCCACCACAUCUACGAUGAUACUGGGUUUUGUCAAAGUUAUCGUCAUAGAAGUGUCAUAAGUAUGACAGAAAAAAAA